Molecule: long non-coding RNA, 79633 nt
Filed under: Gossypium barbadense (sea-island cotton)
Lineage: Eukaryota; Viridiplantae; Streptophyta; Magnoliopsida; Malvales; Malvaceae
Description: long non-coding RNA (GBAR_LNC001229)
Rfam family: Plant small nucleolar RNA R71 (bases 67036-67141)
Source: RNAcentral
CGAUAGCAAAUUUCAAAAAAGCUUUCAUUUCUGUUAUCCUUAUCUCUUCAAAUCUUCUAUGGAGACUCUUCAAGCUGGGUGUCUCGGCCAUUUCUCCUCUUGUUCACAUUGAAUAUGGGUGAAAACUGCUCCCUUUAGGUACUUUUCUUCUCCUUUUCUUAAUUCUUCUUUUGCAAGUUCGUGGGCAUAAAUAUUCCCUGAUCUUUGAACAAUUUGGAAGUUGAUUUCUUGGAAAUGUUGUUUUUCACUUUGAAUGUCUCGAAUAAUCGCCCUUAUAACUGAUUUAUCUGUCGCUGCUGAGUUGUAUUUUUUUAUGACCGCUUUUGAAUCUCCUAUGAUAUCUACUGAUUGAAAACCCAUUGAAAUCCCUAACUUUACUGCUUGUAACCCUGCAUGUGGCUCUGCCAUGAACGGAGACGGUAUUGUGGAAUGGAGGACUGUCUUUGAGGCUAAAAACUCACAUCUCCCUCCACACCACCAAACCUGAGGCUUAUUUGGAGUAUUUACCGUCAAAAGCUGCAUCAAAAUAAAUUGCUACUCUCGCAUUUCUUUCUUCCUGUCUCUAUCUUCUACUAUCGUUUGAGGUAAGUGGCUUUUUUUCCACCCCAUCGAUCUCUACUAUAUAACUUUGGAUUCGGUUCGAUAAAUCUCUUCCUGUUAUUAUUUUCCCCUCGUGAACUAACUGGUUUCUUGAACUCCAUAUUGUCUAAACAGCAGAGCAAAAAAGUCGACAUUGUUUGCUGUUACCCAUGGUGAAGACCCAAGUAAGCCAUUUCCACAAAUCUUGAAUAUUAGUAUUAAUGACCCAUGAUAGAUUUAUGUUUUACCAUGUCUCUGUUGUUGUAGGGCAUUGUAUGAAAACAUGGUUGCUAUCUUCUUCUGCAUUUCGACACCGAGGACAGGAAAUAUCUACAGCCACUCUUUUGAAUCUUAGAUUUGUUAAAGUAGGAAUAAAGUUCUAGGAAAUACGUCAUAUAGUGAUAGCAAUUUUUUAUGGGAGAUGUAAAGUAAAAUUUUUUUGUUUCGGCCUGUAUAAAAUAAGCACUAGGAUCCAUAAUAACCUCUUGUAAUAGUUUGUAGGCACUUCUGACUGAAAAUUCGCAAGAAUGUUCUCCUCGCCAAACUUGGAAAUCAUCAUGUUCUUCUUCUGCCGGAGGAAUUUGCAAAAUCUUCUGUGUUGUAUCCGCUUGAAAGGUAUUAACUCUUAGAUCUAUCUUUCAUUUUCUUGUUGAAGCAUCAAUUAAAUCUAAAACUAACUCUACUUCUGCAUUGUUAGAAUUGUCAUUGAUUCUCUCUGUCAACUCUCGGUACCCACCGGUCGUUCCAAACAGAUACAUGAUCUCCCCUACCGACUUGCCAACAUAAGCUAUCUUUCAGUAACCCUUUUGCUGCCCAAACGCUCUUUCAGGUAAGAAAAGGUAAAUUCCCUAACUGUGCAUUAAUAAAGUUUGAAUUUGGGUAGUAUUUGGCUUUUAAGUCCUUUGCUAAUAAAGAAUUUUGAAAAUUAAUAAGGCGCCAACCUUGCUUGGCUAAUAAAGCGAUAUUAAAUUGACCAAGAGUUUGAAACCCCAAACCACCAUUUUUUUUGUGGUACAAAGAUCCUUCCAAGCUUACCAACGAAUGCCCCUUUUGCCACGAUCUUUUUGCCACUAGAAUUUUGCAGUAAUACUCUUAAGAUCAACACAUAAAUAUUUAGGUAGUAAAAAAUAGGCCAUCGUAUACAUCGGAAUAGCUUAAAGAAUGGCCUUAAUAAAAACUUCUUUCCCAUAUUGAAUGGCCUUAAUAAAAACUUCUUUCCCAUAUUGAAUGAGAUGCUGAAUACUCUAGUUUUCAUUUCGUUGCUUAAAUCUAUCCUUUAAGUUUUGAACAAGCUCUUUCUUCUUUCUGCCCACCAUAUUAGGUAAUCCAAGAUAACAUUCUGGAUCAUUUGAGCUUCGUACUCCUAAUGUGCGAGUAACUAAUCCUCUUUCUUCCUCUUGUGUAUUAGUGUUAAAGAAAAUAGUUAACUUCUCAAAAUUGACGCACUAACCUGAAUAGGUUCCAUACUCGCGUAGAAUUGUUUUCAAUAAACAAGCUCUCCUUUCAGUAGCAUCUCCAAGUAAAAUGCAAUCAUCAGCGAAUAACAAUAUAAUACUUGUGGCCCUUUUUACUAGCUUUAACCUUUUUUAAUUGUCCUUCUUGAAUUGCCAAUCUCAUAAGACAAGAUAAGCCUUCUCCAUAGAUCAGAAAUAAAUACGGGCUCAAAGGAUCACCUUGUCGUAAUCCUCUCGUUGGUUGAAAACUUUCCCCAGCUUAACCAUUAAGUACCACUGAAUAAGAAACAGUAGAUACGCACUUCAUAAUACAAGCAAUCUAGCUAGGGUCAAAACCCAUUCUCAUUAUCAUCUCCUAUAUAAAAUUUCAUUCAACUCUAUCGUACGCUUUACUCAUGUCGAGUUUAACUGCUAUCAACCUCUUUUUUCUAAAUUUUUUUCGUUUUAGAGUGUGUAAAAUUUCAUAUGCCAAUGAUACAUUAUCCGAGAUUAACCUUCCUAGCACAAAAGCACUCUGUGUGCCAUCGAUGCAUUUUUCCAAGACUUCUCUAAGUCAAUUAGUAAUAGCCUUUGCCAUUAUUUUAAAAAUGACAUUGCAUAAGCUAAUAGGACAAAAAUAAGUGAGAUAGGUCGAAUUUGCUCUUUUAAGAAUAAGCACAAUAUGAGUAGUAUUAAUUGGACUAAGCUUCGUACCUCCAUUUAGAUGUUGAAGACAGAGAAGUGUGACCUCUUCCCCAAUGAUAUACCAGCAUUUCUGAAAAAAUAAGGUCGGAAACCCAUGUGCUUUUGUAAGCCCCAUUCUAGUAAGCACUUCCCAAACCUCUUCCUUUGUAUAUUGCACCGUGAGUCUUUGAUUAUCCUCUUCAGAUAUACAACGUUCAAUACCCGAUAAGAGAUGUUCAUAAUGUCCCUUUUCCCUAGCUUCAAAUAAAUUUUGGAAAUAAGAUUUAGCAAUUUCUGCCAUUUCUUGUAUAUCCUCCGUUUCCCUUCCCGUCAUAUUCUAUAAUUUUCAAAUACAAUUUUUCCUUUGUCUUUGUGUUGCUUGACUAUGGAAAAAGGUUGUAUUCCUAUCCCAAAAUUUCAGCUAAUUAACUCGAGCUCUUUUCUCCCAAUAUCUUUCAUCAUUCUCAAUCUCAAAAUUCAAUUGCAAUUUUGUAUCAAUCAGCUUUGCUAAAUUAUUAUCACUCAUUUUGGAUUCCAUCACCUCAGACAGCUUUGAGGAUAAAAAUUCUUUUUUCCGUUUUCUAGACUGACAAAUGCGUACAGCCCCUCUCUCUUAGCCUUUUUUUAGACAAUCCAGCUUUUGUAGUAAACCUUCUGAUGUCGUUUCCCAAAUGAGUUUUAUUUUAGCAUCGAAUAACUCCUCCAAGACCCACCAUGUCUCGAAUUUAAAUGUUUUCCAACUCCUAUUGUCUUCUGUUUUCGUGAUAAUUAGAAGAGGACAAUGGUCAGAGAACGAGUGCACCAGAUGUUAAAUGGUAGCUUCAGGGAAUAUAGACAUUCAAUUCUCGUUAGCCACACCUCUGUCCAAAUGCUCUUGGAUAUUUGUUUCAGGAAAAUUUCCUCUCUCCCAAGUAAACCAAUUACCAGAAUAACCCACAUCCGUCAGAUGACAAUCUUCUAGAACAUUUCGAAAUACUUCUAUUCUUCUUUUGUCUCUAGGCAACCCUCCUUUCUUUUCAAAGCUAUACAUAAUUUCAUUAAAAUCUCUACAAACAAUCCAAGGGAAUUCCUUAUUGCUAUAUAGAUUUUUUAAUAGAUUCCAUGAUUCAUCCCUAUCUUGUGUGUAACGGGAACUAUAAAAUCUUGUAUAUCUCUAUUUUUUCCAUCGUCAGUAUCUUCAAUAAGCACGUCAAUGUGCCUUUUUGAAAAAUUUUGAAGUGUGAUGGUAGCGUCACCUCUUCAAGCCAAACAUAAACCUCCUCUAGAUCCAUCGGGGUCCACAUCAAUGCCAUUACCAAGGCUAUAGCUUCUUCGCACUCGUUCUAUUUGAAUUAUGUUUAUCUUUGUCUCCAUGAAGAAGACCAUCUAGGGAUUAUAUUUUUUCAACGUAUGCCAAAGCUUUCGAAUUGUUCGUGGGUUCCCCAAACCACGGACAUUCUAACUUAAAAUUUUUAUUGCGAUCGGUCAGUUUACUUUUUGGCAACCUCCGAUGAUAAAAAAGUAUUGUCCAACAUCCUCUUAUUUCUUGCUGUUACAGUAUUGCCUUCUUCUCUUAUUGUAGGGUAUUCACUUUCCCCCUAGGCAUUUUUUUCCUUCCUCUCCAAUUAGCACCCUUUCCUCCAAAUCAUGUUUCAUUACAGAGUGGGUCUGUUUGGCCAAUAAAUUUUCCCCCCAUUGUGAAAAAGAGGGUAAAUUAACUUCAAAUUGAACCUCAAGACAGGGUCGAUAGAUACUCUAGUUUUUGACUUAUUUCUAUUUCUUCAUGGCCUGUAUUCUAAGUUGUGUUCGCCAUAGAGAUUUCUACAUGUGUCGUCUUCUUCAUCUUCAAUUAACCAAUUACUCUUCAUUACCAAAGGCUUUUUGGGUUGCGCUCGUAAAGAGAAGUUCCAACCCAUCACCACAACUUCCACCUCUAACGUCAUUUUUGCCUCACAAAAAGAAUCACUAUGAUCCAGCUAACCACAAUAGAAACAAAAAAGAGUCAGCCCUUCAUAUUUUAAUAUGACUUAGGAACACUUCCCUGAGAACAUAACCUGCUUUUUCCUCUUUAAUGUGUAAUGGACAUCCAAUUGAACUCGAAUUCUCAUAAAAUUCGUAUUAGCUUUCCCUAGAUUUGAACUAUCAUGGGCCAAAAAUUUUCCUAAAAAUUCACCUAGUUGCAUUGCCAAACUUUCAGAAAAAUACCCUAUUGGAAUAUCAUGGAUCUGUACCCAAAAAGGCGAAAAGAUUAAAGGGAUUUUCAAUGGAUCCUCCCCCCAUUGUAGUAUGUAUAGAACCAAUAAAUGAUUAUUAAACGUUCAUGGAAAGCCCUUCAGAACUCUGUCGAUAUCCAUAGCAUGAAAAAAUUGAAACAAAAAUCAUCUUUCUCCUAGAUUACGGAUUUGAACGCCUCUAACUGGGUGCUAUAAGUUCGCCAUGGUGCUUUUCAUUGCUAGGAAAUGAAUAACACUAGCUAUUAAAAAGCAUCCCACCAGUCGAAAAGUACUUUCUUCCUUUUCCAAACCCGGCUCAAUUUGUGCUUGUAAAACUGUUUCUUCUUCUUCAUCAAACGUUAAUUCGGCAAAUUCAUUUUCCAUUAUUGCAUGCUAGAGAUUAAGCCCCAUUGUGUGCUAUCCUGAAAGAUGAGAAGAGAUUCUAAUAGACUGCUGUAACCAAAAUUUAACUUUGAACAAAAUAACCCAAAAAACUUAAGAACAUGUAAGAGAGGCAGAUGCAUGCGUGUUAGGGUAGCAGAAUUUUUAGUUAGCUCACUUUUAUUUUGGGUUUUUAGUUUUUAUUUAUUUACAUAAUAUGUUAUAAAGUUAUGUUUUGAAGAUUGUAAAAUCGUGAAAAAUGUGUUUUUUUCCUUAUUUUAACAUAUGAAGUGAUUGUUGUCUCUAAAGAUUUGUUUUACAUGAAGGCGCAAAGUAUAUUUUUAGUUUUAUUAACAUGGUUUUUGUGUGUUUUAAUGAGCUUGAAAUCUUGAUGCAAUGAGCUUACUACUGUCAUACAAGGUUUUUGUUAGCUUGAUCAUAUAUUGUAUAAAGUUUAUGUUAUUUUGGAAAAAAGUGUAGAUAAACCUAUGAUGAAUCUGAAGAUGAUUUUUCUUUUUCUUUUUCUUUUUUGAUGUUAUAAUGCGAAAUUGAUUAGUGCAUGUAAUAUUACAUUGCACCUGAUCAAUUGGUUAACAUGUUAUUAUUAUCAUUUUUAUGUGAAAUUAGAUUUUUAUAGGUUAUUUAAUCUUUUAAAGUGGCUAAAGAUCUUUAGAAUUUGAUUUGUGAGAUUUGGAAGUACCAAAUCUUGAAGAGACAACAUGAAAAAGAAAUUCAAACUUAGACAUUAGAUGCUAAUUCAAUUAAAAAUUAGGCAAAGAAAAGAAUAAGAAAGGAGAAACAAAUUGAAAUAACUUUUUCUUGGUGGGCAAUUUUUGGAUCUUAGAAACAUGAAAUUUUAACUAACAUUAGAAAAAGAUUCAUAGGAACAAAAUCAAGAUUGAAAAAAAAUUAGGUAGCGACUGAAAAGAUAGAUGUGAAGAUGAACAAAAGGCGAUGUAUGAUGGAAACUUUUGAAGAAAAACUUCAUCAAACUCCACUAAAGGUUCUAGCCAACCCUCUAAAAAAAGUCUUAGCAAACCGAAGUGUGAAAAACAACAACCUUGAUUCAUGAAAAGAAAUAGAGUUGCAAGUACUUCUAAAAAGAUACAAGAAAAAAAUCUUGCAAAAAGAGAACUCUAGAAGUUAUUAUUCAUAAAAGAAUGAAACUAAAUCAUGUACAUAGAGGGCGUGAAUUGCCUUUUAUAUGUGAAAACUAGGAUAAAUUGAGUCCUAAUCACACUCAAAUUACCUAAAUCUCCAAUAACAGGUAAAAACCCUACAUGAUUAUAACUUAACCUAAUAGGAGGAAAUUUGGCUAGCCUAUAUGUAUAGGCUAUUUGAACCAAAUUUUUAACUAGGAAAUAUCAAAUAACUUAAUAAAUAAAUUGCCUAUAAUGAGCCAAUUAACAAACAUGCCAAAAUAAAACUUAAUAAAAUAAACUAAGUCUUAAAAGAAUAAAACACUCAAAAUGGGUUGUUCUUCAUAGGCUCGACAUUGUGCGCUGAUUUGCACAAUAAUGCACAUAAACUAAGCUUGUUAACAUCCUCCAAAUGGGUUGGUCAUCAUGGAUUGCAUUCUUGAGCCCAAGAAUGGGUUUGUGGCCUUCUGAUUCACCCUCUUUGUUUAAGAUAGAUCAAAUUCUAUCAUUUUGAAACAUUAACUCGUUUUCUUGCAUACUUUUGGUCAUAAGGUCUUGAAUGAGCAUAUUAAGCUCAAACUUAAACUGUUUGGACUUGCAUAUCAUAAUUGAGCCUUGAGAAAAAUGAAGUCUAUCUUCAUCAUGGGCUUGAGAUUAGGCCUUGGAGCUCGUAUCAUUCUCCAUUCCUCAAAACGAUUCAUCCAUGAAUCUACAAUGUCCAAGGGAGAAAGAUUAGUCACAUUAUCUCAUGCUUAGUCCCUUUCUUAUCAAAAAGUCUGCAAAAUCUUAAUUCUUGAACUCACACUUGUGAUCAAUUUUAAUCCUCUUAAUCAUUCCAAUGACAUGGCCUUUAUCAUUCAUAAAGCCUCUACAAAGUUUUCUAAAUUCAUCAGAGGUGCUAGAUUUGUCUCUAAGGAAUCUUUCCCAAGAAAACUUGAAAAUCCAUCUACACAAAUAAGCACAUAACGUUUUUCACUUAUGCCGAAAAAUAGUGGUGUCAUUGUUUGAAUGUGAACCAAUUUUUUAUGCUUUUCCCUGUGUUGCUUGCCUUUUAAAGAGUUACCACACACUUAAAGAAUGGAGCCACUCAGCUUUAGAAUCCCUCUGAUAGAAUCAUAUCGAACUAGCCUUUAAAGUUUAUAAUAGUUUAUAUAGUCAAGCUUCUCGUGCCAUAACUUUGGUCUGAAACAUUAGCAUUAUUGCAUUUGAUAGAUUGAAUCACUCUAUAGUAGUUGUAAAAUGUGUGAGCCCUGUAAUGCCCUCAACUCGACCUGGUUCUCUAGGUCCGAAUCUCAAGUGGUACUACACACAAUACUUAACCAAAUAUCAAAUAGUUAACAAACAUUCCUUGCUUAAAACAUUUUACUUAUUAAUUUAAUUAAGAAACUUGAGCUCUAAGAAUAAGAGACAGUAUUAAAAAAUAAAAUUUUAAUCCAAACUUGUUACAACACAUUACAGUAUAAAGUUUGUGAAUGGCAGAAUCUUAAGGUGUAACGUUAAACUACACUACUUCUCCCUUGUAUGCAUAAUAUUCCAAUUUUCCACUAUUCUGGCGUACUCUUGGAAUUGUCCCUCCUAGCGUAUUCUCAUACCAUACCCAUGAAACAACAACAAACAUUGUAAGUUCAAAAGAACUUAGUGAGCUUUAUCAUAAUAAUACCUUAGCAGAUAGUUUAUAAGAUUGGAAGAACAUCAGUGUGCUAGUUACCCUUCUGAACCACUUACUUCCAUUUUAGGCAGAUACAAUUCUGGCAUACACUUCCACACCAACUAUCAUACUCUUGAUAUACCAGUUCUUUCUUAAUAGUCUAACUGAAGAUCCUUUUAGACAUUUCAUAAAUCGUACGCACUUCUCAAAAGAAUAUACCUUCAGAAUCAAAUUUAUAUAAAUCAUUUCUUAACACACAAACUUAUCCUAGAACAGUUGUUCAUAGAUAUUAAUCACUAGCAGAUACAUACACAUUUGGUGAAUACUUACGCAGAUCUGAAUACCAUCAAACUACUAAUCAAAUCAUACAUUGGUUCAAUACCAUACAAACUCUCACUGAUAAUGUACUACACAGAUAAUUCAGAUGAAUUCCACAUCACUUUAUUUAGGAACCUCAGAUACUCAAGAUAGCGAUAACUCAGAUUCAAUAUACUUUCAGAAGAAGAUAUUAUACAACUCAGACAUAAUAGAUUCCAAAUAACUCAGAUUCAACCAUUUCCUAACUCAGACAAACUUGAAUUGACAAUUUCUUAUGUCUUUCAUAACCAUGAAUACACCUAUUUUCAAAACAAACAAAUUGCCAGGGUGGAUAUCCUUUUUAACUUGCAGAUACACACUUCUUUUCAGAACUUCCUUAUCUAAUUCAACCAAAUUAACCUUAGAUAUUCCAUGACCUUAUCAUAGAAGUAUCUAUCACAGAACAAUCAGAAACUACCAAAAGGAUGGAUAAGCAUACCUUGCUAAACAGAUUUAGUAGAGUGCGUCAUAAGGGCCAAACAGAAUACGCCAUAAAGGCAUCAUACAGAUUCAUGUGUUUAUUAUCCCAGCGGACUUUCAUAGAAGGUGUCAUGGGUGUCUCCUUCAUUGACUUAUACAUAAGUUCAUGUAUCGUGAUAUACCCAUUCAAUUUACACAUCAUCGAAGGUUACACCAUGAACAUUCAUACAGAUAUAUCUUGCCAUGGGUCUUAACCACAUGGCUUUGCACACAUUCAUGUAUCGUGAUCUAUCAAUCUAGUCUUCAUUUUACUGGAGGCUACACCAUAAGUGUUUCCAAAUCAUAUCACGAUAUCAUGGGUAUCAACCUCAUGGUCUUACACUUGCUUUCAUAUCGUGAUCUACCAACUGGUUAGCAAUCUAACUGUCCUACCAGACACUUCAGAAAGGGACAUUUCCCAUAAUUUAAUUACCUAGAUUUAUUUGCAUUCUAGAUUGUCUCAUACAUUUCAUAUCUUAAAUUUUACUUGCAUACUUAUCAAUCAACAUUCACCUUCAAUAAAACUUAUUAUAUAUCAUCAUAGCACUUAUUUCCUCUUAACUAUACUCGUACACUUACCUCUUAUUAUAAAUGCCAUCAUCUUAUAUACAUAUAUAUAUACAUUUUCUUAUACUUGAAAAGUUUAUAUAAGAAAGGGUGAUACCAUCUUAAAUUUGCACGAUUUUUUGUCUUUAAAUCGAUUAAUUAUUGAAUUAAUCCCUGCUAAAUUAGUGAUUUUAUAUUUUAAUUCUGUCAGGAAUGCAAUUGGGAUGCUAUGAGUCAAAAACAAGCAGAAAAUGACCAAUUUGCAGCACAGUCAAUAAAGUGAGGCCAAAUCAGGAACUUGGAAAUAAUCAAGGACUUAUCAAAUUUCUUUUGACCUUCUAAAAGCUAAAAUUAGAAGAAAAUCUUAUUUUAUUUUUAUUUAAUUCUAAUUUUUUGUAGUGGGUAGUUAGGCCAAAUUUAGUAAAUUAUUUGUAUAUAAAUAGGGCAUUUGUGGUAGCUUGAAAACACACUUGAAUUUACUUAAACAAUUAAAUUAAAUUAUUUUUCCCUUCCAAUUUUAUACGUGUAGCAUACUGCCAUUUCAUUUCCAUUUGCUUGUUUCUUUAGUUUAAUUGCUUUCCAAAUCCCUUCCUUUUCUAACUUUCACCAAUUUUCAUUCAAAUCCACUCCAUAUCUAAUCAAAGCGUGAUUAAUUUCAUGCUUCAUUAAAUUCUAACUUAGCUUUAGGCCGGUAUUCUUUCCGUUCAAAAAUUGUGAGAUACGUAUUUGUACUAAAAAUCCUUCCAAUCGGUAUUCACUAUUUCUUCUAAAUAUCAGGAUUGAGAAAUUCAUCCCUUAAAGUUAAUUCGAUUUCUAAUCAAAAAGUGCGUUGGGUUGGAGUCGUAUUUACAAACAGUUGGAGAAACAAGUCGUCCGUGCUGUAUUUAGAUCUCCGAGAACAAAUCAAAUGAGAUAGUGAUCAGGUUUAAAUGUCUCGCGUGGUUGAGGCCAUUAAUCCAAGUUGGGUUCUUUAGAGCGCAAGGUUACCGGAAUCUUGAAUGGGGAACGCGUAUAUCUCGGUUAGAUAAUCGGUAAAGGUUGGUUUGCAGGUUGUACCGGGACCAACUACGAGAGGAAAAAUUGGUGGUUAAAACAUUUUUAGUCGCUAUAACCAGCUUAUUGUUUAGGGAAGAAGACUAAUUUUCGAGGAUCGGUUCAAAGAUCGGAAUUCACCAAGUUUAAGGCUAAGGCUUACUUUUUCUGUUGUCAAAACUCAAAUUCAUUUUCUAAUUUAAUUUUACUUUUGAUCUCUUUAAUUGCUUACUUCUAUUAUCUUAAUUAUUUAAUUUCUAGACAUUUCCAACUCUCUAAUUUAUUUUUAAAAAAAGAUCGUUUGAAUUGAGUAACCGGGUUAAGGUGUUUGGGUUGUCAUCCUAGUUCGCGUAAAAAGGUUUGACUACUUCCAAAAUAAAAUAAAAAUAUUAUUAUUGCAUGAUUAAUUGAAAAUAAUACCUUGCAAAUUUUGGUUCAAACUCAAUUUAGUGAAAUGAUUUAAUUUACAUGUUUCAAUUUUGUGAACACUUGUUUAUCAAACUAGAUAUUUUGAGCACUUAUUUAUUUUUUGUCUAUAUUGUUUGCAUUGAUCAUGGAUGUGGAAAAGACGCUUGAUUUCUAAUAAGUUAUUGAAUGAUUUCUAUUGUAUGAAGUGCAAUAUGCUUGAGGGCAAGCAUGAGCUAAGUAAGGGGAUUUGAUAACAUGUUAAAUUUGCUUGAUUUUUUGUAUUUAAAUCGAUUGAAUCUUGAAUCGGUCCCUUCUAAAUUAGUGAUUUUAUGUUUUAAUUUUGUCAGGAAAACAAUUGAGAUGCUAUGAGUCAAAACAGGCAGAAAAGGACUAAUUUGCAGCACAGGCAAUAAAAUAGGGCCGAAUCAAAAACUUGGAAAUAGUCAAAGACUUAUCAGAUUUCUUUUGACCUUAUAAAAGCUAAAAUUAGAAGAAAACCUGAUUUUAUUUUUAUUUAAUUCUAAUUUUGUGUAGUGGGUAGUUAGGCCAAAUUUAGUAAGUUAUUUGUAUAUAAAUAGGGCAUUUGUGGUAGCUUGAAAACACACUUGAAUUUGCUUAAGUAAUUAAAUUAAACUAUUUUCCCUUCCAAUUUUAUGCGUGUAGCAUACUACCAUUUUAUUUCCAUUUGCUUGUUUCUUUGCAAAUUAGUUUAAUUGUUUUCCAAAUCUCUUCCAUUCUAACUUUCGCCAUUUUUCAUUCAAAUCCACUCCAUAUCCAAUCAAAGCGUGAUUAAUUUCAUGCUUCAUUAAAUUCUAACUUAGCUUUAGGCCAGUAUUCUUUCUGCUCAAAAAUCGUGAGAUACGUAUCUAUACUAAAAAUCCUUCCAAUCGGUAUUCAUUAUUUUUUCCUAAAUAUUGGGAUUGACAAAUUUAUCCCUUAAAAUUAACUCGAUUUCAAAUAAAAAAGCACGUUGGGUUGGAGUCGUAUUUGCAGACAGUUGGAGAAACGAGUCGCCCGUGAUGUAUUCGGAUCUCCGAGAACAAAUCAAAUGAGACAGUGAUCAAGUUUAAACGUCCCGCACGGUUGAGGUCGUUAAUUCGAGUUGGGUUCUUUAGAGCACAAGGCUGCCGGUAUCUUGAAUGGGGAACGCGUGUAUCUCGGUUAGAUAAUCGGUAAGGGUUGGUUUGUAGGUCAUAUCAGGACCAACUACUAAAGGAAGAAUUGGUGGUUAGGACGUUCUUAGCCGCUAUAACCAGCUUAUUGUUUGGAGAAGAAGACUAAUUUUCGAGGAUCAGUUCAGAGAUCGAAAUUCACCGAGUCUAGGAUUAAGGCUUACUUUUUCUAUUGUCAAAACUCAAAUUCAUUUUCUAAUUUAAUUUUACUUUCAAUCUCUUUAAUUGCUUAUUUCUACUAUCUUAAUUAUUUAAUUUCUAGACAAAGGGAAUCAGGGUAAAAACUUACUUUAACUCACCUACUGCAGUUCUAAGCUUCAGACUCAAACAUCUUUCUCGAACCAGCAACAACAAUUGCUUGCAGAACAUAGGAUCAACAUUAAAACUCAUUUACAUAUAAUUUAUUAUCAUCUCAAAAUCUAAUAACUCCUAUGAAAAGCUUUAUACUUACAACUUAUUGUUCAUAUACCACAUAAAGACUCAUUCUUUCAAAAUAUUUAACAUGCAGAACUGUGAUACUUACCCAGAGAUGGAAUGAUCACUGAUUAAACCAAGAAUCAUUAAAUUCCAGUUUAAUGAGGAAAAGAUACCGUUGGAUUAAUGAAAAAGAAUCAGAAAGUAGCAUUGAAGGAAAAAGAAGAAUCCUCUUCAAAACCCUUUUCACAUAUAUAUAUAUGACUCAUCCUAACUAGUGGAACUUAACAAGUGUCACAUAUUUCAGAAUUUGUUUUCCUAAUGGUUUAUAGUUUCUGAGAGCAACAUAAAUGAGGAUUAUGUAUUAUAGAUAUCAGGUUAGUCUAUCCAGUUGGUUCCUAACCAGAUUACUUUACAACCUAACUAGCACAAUACUUCAACUAACAUGGCGUACAAUACUUUUGGCGAUAAUUCAAAACGUACUUACCCCUUAUUACUUAACAUUAUCAUUUCCUUUAAAUAGCAAAAUAUCCUAAAACAAAAUUUUCAUUUACUUACAUGGCAAUUACUAUACGUUCACACCUUUGCGCCAAAAGAAACAUAUGGACAGAUUACACUUCGCCAAACAAAUUCUUUUUCCGUUAUACGCCAAAAUCUUAGGUUCGCCAAACUUAAGGUGUGACAAUUCUCCUCCCCUUAAAAAAAUUUCUUCCUCGAAAUUUUCUAACUUUGGAUAAUUUCAUUAAAUAACUGAAACCUAACUUUUUGUGUCAGGCGUAUACCACUAAUUUGGCGGAUUUAGAAUUUUGCAGCUACCCACGUAAAUUCAAACAUUACAUAACUUACCUUUUUGAUAGAUGUAAAAAUUGUAUUAGAGAACUUGAAUAGUUUUCACGAAUUAAACUUCUUGCACAUGUUUGUUUCUAGAAAGAAUAUACUCAAUCACCCCUUCAAACACUUUUGCUAAAUCAAUUGAAACCUUAACUUUUUCUCUGCUUAAUCUUUCUUCUUUAUCUUCAGUCUCAACUUUCACAAAGGUAACAUUUUCCUUCUUUUCAUUUCCUUUCUUUUCUCUUUUUCAUACAAAAAUGGUCAAGACAAAAACUAAAAGGAGGGGUCAGAGACAAAAUAACCAAAACACAAUUCCCAGAAAUCCCUUUUCCUGAAAUUUUAUCAGCUAAAAACAAAGAGACAAGGAACUGCUAUUGAGAAUGUUUGCCUCAAUGUACGCCAAGGUUGUAAGCCAAAAAUGUAAAAUAAUAUUUCAAACUUGCAACUAAGAAAUGACAAAUUCAUACGAGUCAUCUAUAGGCUUGAAAGUGGAUUUGGCUUUCCUACAUGUUGGUCUCUUCCUCGUAAAUUUGUUUAUUCUCACUAUCAGCCAGUUGAUUCAGAAGUUGCCUUAAAGCAAUAUAAAUUACUAAAGAGGGGGUGAACACUUUAACUGGUGGAGACUAUUACAGUUAGGAAUGUCUUCCAAUAUUGUUUAUAGAAUCUAAGUCCAAACUAUCGUUGGGCAACUGACCCCAUUAAUUGGUUAGAUGAUUACAAUGUGCCUUCAGAUUCCGAGGCCUGGCCUUUUAAUGCUAUGAGCAAUCUAGCACAAGUUUUAAUUGGGCGUAUAAGGGAACCUCCCUUCUUUUUCUAUGAAAUUUGUGGGAUUCAUUCUCACUAUUGGAUAAUCAAUCAUGAUACUCUUUCUUCUUCUUCUUCUUCUUCUUCUUCUUCUUCUUCUUCUUCUUCUUCUUCUGUUGCUGCUGCUGCUGCUAAGGAGAGCGCUACUACUGCCCCUCGAAGAAAUUAGCAAUGAAGAAAAAUUAGAAGAGGCCCAGAGUAAGUGAGGGUACUCAAGAAUCUGAAGAGAGCGAAUGCCCACAACUAACACGGCAUAAACUUAGAAAGGGGUUACUAACACUAAAAAUUCUCCAAUUCUAGCACUUUAUGCAAUUCUAAUGAAAUCCGCCCAAUCUGUAGACUCUCCAACUCAUAAUGUUGAUCUUUCACUAGCUGAGGUCCCAGCAGCAACUUUACUCUCAGAAUAGCUAGUGGUUCCCACUAGUUCUCCUCUUUGAAGGUUUUCCACGUGUUCGUUCCACUCCACUUUUACUAUCUCGUUAUUUAUACGGAUUGAUCCCAACAACUUUUAUUCUAGCUCUCAAUUCUUUCAAUCUACUAAUAAAACUAGUUCUUCAUUAGAUAAGGGUUAUUUUGCAGCAUAUAUGGCCUCAACUCCUCAAACUUUUCCUGGUAUUCCUGAACUGUAGUUUUCUAAAUCAGUUUAUUAAAUUCUUCAAUAACAUCUGAACAUGUUCUAUUACAAAAUCUUUAGCGACGACCAACAGAGAAAUCUUGCCAUUACACAUACCCCUUUUGCAUAAUGUAACAAUCAUACCACACUUCAGAUUUGUUACGAUCAGAAAUAGAAAAAAUUGCAAAGUAUUUCUGACAUUUUUUAACCUAUCCCCUAGGAUUAAUCCCGUCAAAAGUAGACAAUUCUGUUUUCGGUCUACAAGCAAAAGCAUUGUUACUUGUGCCAGAGUUAGACCCUUCUAUAUAAUCGUUGUUUUGACAAUGACUGCCAUUUAACCCUGAUAGAGUAUUUGCUAGCAAUCCAGGUUGAUUUAGCUCAUAACUAUACUUUCCAUGUUCAUCAAUAAUAGUGACUUCAAUAAGGGCUCUUACAGUUUCUUCUAUUAGGAAUAGCUACAGUGAUUGAAGGUAGUUGGAUGCUUGUAUUAGCAAGUUCUUCGGCAGGGUUCUAACAUCACUAUGGGUUUUCCUUUUUGCAUCAUCAACUGUAGCAUCCUAGACGUGCAAAAAACUUGAUUUUCAGAGCAGUUUAUCAUUAUUUUCAACUAACUUGGCUUCAAUCCUUUUUCUUUGUUCUUCCCACCAAGCUAGUAUCGUCUUCUCAACUGCUUUUAAACCAAUUUACAGUGCUUGCAUUUGUUCCUGUAAUGAGUUCAACUUGGUAUUUUCUACCAUUUAUUUCUUGUUUCUGGUUCUUGCCAGUGUAAAGGUGGAUACUAAGCUAUGAAUAUCAAUUGUCACAGAAUUUGCUGUACAGGUAAAAGGUUCGAGGAAAUGAGAAGAAUGAAGAAAGGAUCAGAGAGCAUGGUAGAAUUUAGAAACAAAAAAGGUCUUAUAUUUCAUUUAUAGAAUUCUCAGUACAUACGUGCACUAUAUGUAAAAAAAAAAAUGCUACUACAUAGCAAAAUUUAGCAACUAACAACAUAUAUUGAGAAAUAGAAAGUGAUUAAAUAUUAUUUCGAGGAUAUUUUUAUAUUUUUUAUAUAAAAUUUAAAAUACAAAUGAUGUAUAACAUUUACUUUCUCAACUUAAUCACUUCAAUUAGAGUUUUAUUUAGUUUUUAUUCCAAUUUAUGUAAUUUAAUUUAAUUGAUUCUUUAUUUAUUAACUUCAGUUUAUCUCUCAAAAUUCUAUUCAACUUUUAGAACAGACUCUCUGAAAUCAACUGAUGAGUGAAGAAGAAAAACAAGAUUGAUGUUUCAAAGUAAAUGUUGGUUUUUAAGCUUUAGUUGGGCUUCUUACUUCAUUAAACCCUUUUAUAUAAAUUUGGACUUGAUUUUCUUUAAACUUACAAGCUAAUUUGGGCUUGUUAAUUGAAUUAAAAAUAGGCUUAGUCUAAGAUAUUGUUUAAUAUAAAAUUUAAUAUUUUGAUGAUUAAAUUUUAAAUCUUUUGAUAAUUCGUAAUAAAAAUCAGAAUUAUAAAAAAGUAAUAAAUAAAUAACUAUUUACCGCUUAGCAUAAUAAUUUCAUUUCAUUUCUUUUAACAUUAUAGUAUCCUUUAAACCAUAUAUCAUCCUAUAACCAAGUGUAGAAAUAACACUCUUUUAAGAAAAAUAAAGAUAUAAAUAUAAAAUAAAAAUUUUAUAAUUCACAUUGUGUAACAAAUAUAUUAUAAAAUUUUAUAUAAUUAAUAAAUAAAACUUUGUUUGAAUUGAUAAACUACAAAAGUUAAAAACUAUAAAAGUUUGGGUUUUUUUUUUAUUGUUAUGUUUUAUAUAAAAUAUAAAAUGAUAAAAAAAAAUCAUCAAAUACAAUAUAAUUUGUAAUGUUAGAGUUGUGUGACUUAAAUUCUUGUUAAAAUAAAAUACAAGUGGCAAGAUAGGGGUUCUACGAGGGCAAAGGCUAGUGCCGAAGUGAAAUCCAUAUAGAAGUUUACUUCCUCUAUUUGAUGUUGAUUAGAAUAAAGUAUUUUAACUUUACUGCAUUACUUUUAUUUGACUUUGAUUAAAUAUAAUUUUACAAACCUAUAAAUAAACGUAGCCUAUAUUCCUAUUGUAAAAUUCGAAUUUCGACAUAGUAAAUUUUAUUCUUCUUUGCUCGUUGUUUUUUCCCGAAAGGAUUUCCACGUAAAAUUUUACAUGUUCUUUUCUCUCUUUCUUUGCAAUUCAUUGUCAUUAUCGGCGUUCAAUUUUUCACAUGUAAAGUAAGAGUAUUUUCAUCAAUACUCAAUCGAUUUAAUGCUUGAUUGGCUCAUGACAGUAACUUAAUCAAGUGCUUAAUAUAUAGUAUGAAUAAAAGAAAUGGGUAAACUACUUAAUUAGCCACUGAAUUUUUGCAAGUUCUUAUUUUAGUCACCUAAUUAUGACAAUUUUUAAUUUGAUCACUAAACUAUUCGAAUUUAUUUUUAUUAAUCACUGUGUCACUAAGUUUGAAACAACUAGAUGAUGCGGCCAUUAUAAACUACAUGAAUGGUCACUCAACUAUGAGAGUGUUUCUGUUUUGAUAAUCCAACUAUAUAAAAAAUUAUUUAGUCACUAAUGUUUCCAAAAUUAAUUUUUUUAGUAACAUGCCAUUAAAGUUAUAACAAACGUUGGACAUGGCCUUUUUUUAUUGGUCUAAUAACAAAUCUUACCAUUCAAUAUUUAUAUGUUCUAUCAAUUUAGUCUUAAUUCUAAAAAAUAUCAAUAAAUUUUAACUCUAAACAUUCUUACUAGUGUUUGGCUCUAGAAAAUUUUUUAAUAGUUUUUUAUUUGACGCUAGUAAGACUUGAGUUUUUUAGGCACAAAAGAACCACUAUUUUAACAUAAAAAUUUACAACAAAAACAAUAAUAAACAACUUUCUGACGAUUUAUUAUCUCUUUGGCGUCGGAAACUAAAAACCUUUGAAUUUUCUAGUGUCGAAAAAACAUUGUUUAAUCUAAAGUGUUAAAAAAAAUUUACCAACAGCUUAAGAUUUUUUGUGGCAUAAGAAACUAGAAACCUUUGAAUUUUAUUGCAGUGAAUAACACCACCUAACAUGAAAUUAAUAAAUUUUGUAAAUAUUAAAUGUUAAAUUUUUUAAAUUUUUUAAAAAGUUGAACUAAUUUAUAGAUGAUAUAAAUAUUGAAUGACUAAAUUUGUUAUUAAAGAUAUGGUGACUAAAAAAAUUUAAUGAUUAAAUUAAAAUUUUUUUAUAAUUAGAUAAUUAAAACAAAAACAUUCUCAUAAUUAAACCAUCAUUAAUAUAGUUUAUGACAGUCAUGUUAUCCAACAGUUUCAAAUUUAAUGGCUAAAAUUAUAAAUUUAAAUAAUUUAACGAUAAAUUAAAAAUUUUCACCAAAAUAAAACACAAAAAAUUCAGUAUAUUGAAGGAAAUUAACGUGGUAUUCGUUUAUCCUUUUUGGAGCGGUCGUAUAAUCACCGUUGAUAAAAAUCCGAAUUUUGGAUAACAUAUUAAGUAAUGUAGUCCUCUCCACAUGUUAAUAGGGUGCAGUGUAGUGCUUUUUGUCCCUGUGCAUCCGUGAGCCACACAUUAAUUAACUUUUAUUCUAUACGCUAUACAUGUUAAUAGAUUUGCUCCUAAAUUUGACAAUUUUCUCAUAUUAAUCCCUAAAUUUCUUUUAUCAUAUUGGUUAUUAAGGUUGGCAUGUGUUAUAUAGACUGGUCUCUACAUUAACACCGUGUAUUUUUUAAGAAUUUGUUGAUGUGGAUAAGUAUGGGGUUAAAAUUUUAUUUUUUAUAUAUUCAAUUUUUUUGAAUUUUUUUCAAAAUUUAAAGUUUUUUUUAAUGUUUUAAGAAAAAUGAAUCUACAUGUCGUCCCUUUAUUUCUUCACGUGUCGCUCUCAUACUUGUCCACAUCAGCAUAUUCUUCAAAAACAAAUUGUGUUAGUGUAGGGAUUAAUAUGUUUAGUGGAUGUCAAUUUUAGGGACUAAUAUGAUUCAAAAAAAAAUAGAGGUCAAUGUGAGAAAAGUUGCCAAAUUUAGGGGUUAAUCUAUAUAUUAAGCCUUAAAAAACUAACGAUGUUAACAAUAAAGACCAAUUUAUGUAAGAGAUGCCAACUUUAGGAAGUAAUGCGAUAAAAAAAAAGUUUAGAGCCAAUUUGAGAAAAGUUACCAAAUUUAGGGGUCAAUCUAUAUAUUUAGCCAAAAAAAAAAAAAACUAAUGUAUAACAUUCCUUUGAAGUAUUAGUUAUAAGUUUAAACUUUGAUAUUGUAUUUUUUUUAAGUAGUUUUUUAAUUUUUACAUAAAUAUUUAUUGAAAAGAAUAUUUUAGUUAUUUUCUACUGACUUUGAUCCAAUUAGAGGGAGAUAUAUGCGCUCUUCUGGUUCUAGCCUAGCCCACAGGAUUAUGAUAAAAAGUUCACUGUUUUUGGAUUUAUUCAAAUUAACUUUUUUUCUUCAAAAGAAUUUGUUUUUGGAUCAUUCAAAUCAAAUUUAUUGGUUUAAAGUUUUGCUACUUUUUUUUUUAAUAGUGAAAUACUCAUUAAGUCCUUAUCAAAUUUGUUAGUUCCUUCAAUUUUUUUUACUAACUAAAUUCUGGAUUUUGUAAAAAAAUAAUUCCAGCAUAAAAUAAAAUUUAUCAUAUUAUUACAAAAAAAAAUGUUUUAACUUUUAUAAGGGAAAUUAGUAAAAUUUAAAAAUUUAUCACAGUAUUUAGAAUAUAUGUCUGUAUUUAAAAUUUCAUGUAAUAAAUGUUUUAUAUGAAAUAGAAAAUUUGAAACUAAUAAUAAUAAUCAGAUUAUGGUAAAUUCAUAAUAUGCGUGAAAAAUAAAAUUAUGUAAUAAAUAUGUCUUUUUAAAAAUUGAUAUAAAUAAUAAAUGAGGUUUUAGCUUAAUGGUAAAAUAUAAAUCAUAAAUAUGGAAAAUUAAAGAGACAUGGAUUCAAAUUUUAUUGUGUGUAUAUAUUUUUUUAUUUUUUAUUUUUGUAAAAGAUAUAAAAUGAUAAAAAUUCCCUCAAAAUAGUAUAAUUCACUUUGUAAAGUGAGGAUAUUUUUGUCUUUUCUAAAUUGAGUUGAUACAUGAUUAACUCAUGAUAUCAAUUUAAUCAACGGUUUAUGAUAAAUUAGAAAUUUUAUCACAUGAGUAUGCGUAUGGAAACUACAUAUUUAGAAUACAAAUAUAUGUUUAAAAAUAACAUACAAUAAAUAAUGAAAUGUAUGGUUUAGAAUUAAUUAAUAAUAUAAGAAAUAUGUAUGAUAUUAAAAUAAAUAAAAUUAGAUUAAAUUGUAAGUAAAACUAAAUUUAAACAUAUGAAUAUAUCAUUAAGAAUACUAAAUGAAUACAAUUAUUUAUCGUGGUGUUGUUAUCAAUGCUAAGUUGGUGUCGAACUAUUUUAUAACAUCAUCUCAAUUUUAUUAAUAUAUACAAUUGGCAGAGUAAUAAAGUGUACAUAAUAAAAUUAAAUUGUAUAAAAAAUAACUUUGGUCGAGUGAUAAAUUUAAGGUUUUAUUAAUGCCAGUGAUGUGAGUUUAAAUUCCUCCAUAUGCAUACCUUUUGUUGUUGUUUUUUUUAACUAAAAACACUAAAAUACACUUAAUUAAUCUUAUUUUAGACACGAACAAUUUCUCUAACCGAAUUGGUACUUGGUUAAUUUAUAACACCAACACAAUUAGAAACUUAAAUAAUAUUACAUAACACAUAUCUAUUGGAUUUACAGUUUUGAAAUUUCUUUUUUGUAUUUUAUAUCUUGUUUGAUAAACUGAAAAAUUAAGUAUUGAAAAUUUAAAUCUUGAAAAAUUAUGUGCUCAACUUAAAUUAUAAAAUCUAUUUGGUAUAUUAUUAUUUAAAAUUAAAUAUGAAAUACAAUUAAAUUCUUUGGUAAAUGUAAAUUUUAGAGGUAAAUUAUGAUAAUAUUAAAUACUUAAAAUAAAUUAAAAUUUUCUACUUGUAAGUAACUCCUUUAUCUACUUAUCAUUUUUCACACUUUUUUUAUUUUUAAAAAUAUAUUAUAUGUUUUUAUAUCAAAUAUGGUUAAAAAAUUUAAAUUAGUGAAUAUAUUAUUUUUUUAGUUGAUUUAAACUUUUCAAUAAAUUAUCAAACAACACCUAUUUUUUAUAUAUUAAAAAAACUGUUUUUUUUUAUAAUUGUUGAAGGAAAAAAAAUUUAUAGUUAAAUAAGUACACAUUUUAUUUUCUUUAAUCCAUGAAUAUCCUUAAUUUUAAUAGACAUAAUAAAGUUUUUUUUUGAAGGUAGAAGUAAUAAUAUUUUUUAUUUUUAAUAAUUCAGCAAUUAUACUUUAUAUGAGAUUUGAUAUGACAAAGGUAAAAAUUUUGCUUAUUUGGGCAAUUUUUGAAGAAAAUGGUAUUAUUAAUAGGAACAUCAACAAUAAUAAUAUAAAAAUAUGGUAUAUAGUAUAAAUUAUAAAAAAUUAUUAUAAACUAAUGCACAAAUGUCAUGGUAAUUUGAUAGUAACUAUAACAUUGGAAUAAUUUAGAAACAAACCAAAGAUGCAUCAACUUGAUCAAAUUAUUGAAAUAUGCAUUCUAGCCUUGCUAUCAUCAAAUCAGCUUAAUGAUGAACACUGAUCAACAAGAAAAAACUACCAAAAGCCCCAAGAGACCUACCGCAUCAGUGAUGCACAAAGGGAAGUCUCAAAUGAUCUAUCCUCAUCAUCAUCAUCAUCUCGAAUCUAUCGCCAUCACUAUGAUUUAUUAUGAUAAAGUCUUUCGAGAACGGUUUCUAAAAAAUCGGGUGGCACCCUUAUAUUGACAAAUCUCACAUAUACAUCAAAAUAUGACUAAUAAUUGAAAGUAAAAUAAAAUCACAUAUACUUUCAAAGAAAACAGACUAAACAAAAUAAAAACCACAAAAAAUAUAGACAAAAAAACCAUAAAAUUAUAGAAAAAAAUCACGAUAAUAUAGACUAAAAUUAAAAAUAAAAUAAAACUAUAAAAACCAACUCAAAAGUUCACCCACUACUACAAUUUUAUUUGUUUGUUUACUAUUACAAUCACAAAUUUAUUUGUUGAAAAAAUCUCAUCUAAAAUUUUAACUAAACAUAUGGGAUUAUGAAAAUUAUCGAACAAAACAUAAAACUAUGUCAAAAUUACAACAAAAUUUCUCUAUCAGUUUAAUUUUUGUAUUUAAAUUUAGAUAGAUUAAAAAAAAGUAAUCACAAUAGUUAAAAAAUUUUAAAUAAUAUCUUUUGUACAGCAUUCAUAUCAACGUAAAAUGACAACUGAUUUAAAAAUUAAAAAUAUUCUCACUUUAAUUGAAAUCAAGAAUUUUGGAAUAAAAUCAUCAAAUAAAAAUAAUUCUACAUAUUUUUAUAAAUAUAUCUUUUCACUCGAAUGUCUAAUAAUUUAAUGGAUAUAAAAAUACUUGCUCCAAAAAGUGCAAUAAAUUGAGAAAACUUUUAAUAUAUUAACAAUAUAAAAUAAAUAAAAAAUGAUCAAAUAUAUAUUUAAUAUAUUAAAAAAUUAAUAUUAAAUAUAUUUUAAAAAAUUAAAGUACGAAAAAUUAUUUAGUGAGACUGUUAGACUCCAUAGUAAAAUUAAGAGAAUGACAUGCGGGCAUAUAUCAUAUAAUAUGGUUAAAAAAUAGAUACAUUAUUCUUUCAACUAAACUCUACCAAUACAUAAUAUCCUUCAUUUUAAAGAUUAAAAGUUAGUUGGGAAGUGAGAUAUCAUGUUCUAUGAAAUCUCAUUUUUGUUUUCAUUUUAACUAAAACUUCGUUAAUUUUCAUUUAAAAACAGAAUCCUACACAAAUUAAUAUUAUAAUUUUUGUAUUUUAGAAAUGAUUUCAAGAUAUUAUUUUCUAAAUUUAAUCUAAUAUCAAUUAUUUUUGAAAAAUAAUUAGUUUGUAAAUAUAAUAUAUCAACUUUGCUUGAUGUUUCGUUGUAACAACAGUUUGAACAAAACAGACAGUGUAAAAAAUAACAACAGAAAGGAAUUGACACAGUCAACUUUUGUUAACGCAGCUCAAACACAAUAAUCCCACAUCGACAAAGCCUUGCCUUGUGAAUAAUUUUAUUCAAUAGUUGCCUAGAUCACCUAUUGGCUUAAGCUCAAUUUACCAUUACAUAAAGAAAUAAUUACAGCCCCAAUACCAACCUUGAUUGUCACAAAUCACUCACUCAAAUACUUUAUAACACAAUCAAUUAACUCUUCAAAAAAUACCUAAAAUUGUGUCACAAAACACAGCAAAGUUACACUCCAAAACUACUCUUGAUGUGUGGCAUAAAACAACUUAUUUAUAGGCCUCUUCAAGUGGUCAAUCAAUAGUAUUUUGAUAGGCUUUAAACUUCUAUUUAAAAGUUGAAAUUAUCUCAUUAAUUAUCCUGAGUAUUUAUCAGACAAAAAUCUCCAUAAAUCCAUCUUUUAGCUACUCCAAAACUCUCUCAAAUAAAUAUGAUAUUUAUCUCUAAAAAAUAGCAUUUUAAUAAUAAGACUCUCAUACUUAUCCAAUCACAUCAAUUAAUACAGCUGAUAGCCUCUCAGCUUCUAACUUUGUCAAAUAUGGCACAUCUAAGUAGACCGAACUUAACAUAAACGAAACCUAUUCAAGACCAAAAUCGAUGACUCAAGUAGAAAAACAAUUUCGUUAUAACAUAAUAUUAUGGAAUGAGCAACAACAUUAGCAACAAUCACGAUUUAAAAAUUAAAAUUAUAUAUUAUUAUGUUUUAAUUUCAUAAUCAUAUUAUGAAAUAUUUCAAAAUUGAUGAAUAAUUUUAAGAAAUAAUUAAAUAUAGUUUAAUUAAUACGCCGGUAAAAAAAAUAGUAUUCUAUAAAACAAUGGUAUAGAUAAAGGUUACUAUGACAUUUAAAGUUUAAAUAUAUAUAUUGAUAACAAUAAAUAUACUAUAUUUUAAUUAAAAAAAUUUAUACCCUAUAAAAAAACUUUCCAGUUCCUUAAAUUAAAAAGCUAAUUGUAUAAUUUAAAAAAUGUAUCCCUUAUUUAUAUAUAUAUAUAUAUUUCAAAACUAGUUAUAUAUUAAAAAAAUCGGUUUGAAUCCUAUGAUUUGAAUCCUAUGCGAUGGCUUGUUAAUCAAAGUGUUCACUAUCAUAGGUGUAGCAUGAGUUUGAGUUGCAUUAGUCGUGUUUAUUAUUCGGGCUUUGUUCUAUUCUUGUAUUUAAAAAUUAUGAAUUUAACUUGAAAAUAAAUAAUUAAAAUAAAAAAUUAAUUUAAAAUAAUAGAAAUUCCGGCUGAGUGUCAAUGUAUCUAGUAUUAAUUACGAAUAUUAUAAUGCUUUCGUGUGGUAUUCAAAACUAUAAAAGCACUUAAAAGUCGGUGUCCAACUGUCAUCUGCUCUCAAAUAUAGCCUUUGCUUUUAAACGGCCGUUAUGCCUUUUCUCUCAAUAACGGUGCCCUUUUCAGUUUUCCGUCAAUUUCUACGUAACACGUGACUAAGCCACUCCCCCAUAUAUCUGCAUGGCAUGUCAUCAUGCUUUUUCUUCUUUUCAUUUCUCUAUAUAAAUUAUCAGAUGAUGGAUGGAGUAAUGUGAGCAUGUAGGCAUCCACGAUACAUGAUGGGUAUGCGAUAGAUUCAUUUGGGUUAGGGUUUCCUGUAUCCAGCUAUUCAACAUGGCGUCACUUCAGCUCAAAUUACAUUUAUAGCCUCUAUGGUCCUAUUACCUAGUAAUUACUAUUUUUUUCAUUCUUCAAUAUUUAUAAGAUUCCUUUUACGGGUAUCUACAAAAAAUAUUAUUUUAUACAAAAAAAUAAUUAAGCGGUAAUUUUUUGUUUUUUUGUAAAUUUCCUAUUCCAUUAUUAGUUUAAGUGGUAAUUUUUUUAAAAAAAAUUAAAAAUAUUUUAAUUAUUAAAUUAUUUUUUAGUGGAUGGAUAUAACGUAACUCAUGUUCCCUUAAAAAUAUAAAUUAGUCUCUCUUUAGUAGUAAAAAGUUUUCAACUUUAAUAUAUUAUUAUUUAAAACUUAUUAUGGAAAAAAAAAUUAAAAAUAUAUAUUAUAAAAACUUUGAAUGAAGCAGUUUUAAAAUAUAUUUUUAUAAUACUUAAUUAUUUAAAAUAUUUGAGGUCAGAAUUCAAAAUUUUGACUUAAAAAAUGUCAACUUGAUAAUUUAAUUGGGACAAAAGGACAUUUGAUAUAUUCUUUAUUAAAAUUUUCAGCAAAAAAUAAUUUAUUUAUUAUCAUAAAUAUUAUUUCAUUAUACGCUAUACAAAGAUAUGUUAAAGUUUAUUUAAUCAAAAGGUAUUAAAUUUUAUUUUAAUUCAUUCAUAUUUAUAAAUGAUUAAUUUAAAUUUUUUAAGUUCAUUUAUUAUUUUUUUAGUUUUAUAUUUUUUUAAGAAUUACAAAUAUAAACAAUUUAACAUAAUUUUUAAAAUUUAGCGUUAUCAUUGUACAUGUGUAAAGCUAUUAGAUACAUGUUAGCGUCUUUUUCUAUACCAUUACGAGCUUAUAAAUUGGGGAAGAGUAUUUAGUAUCUACGACUUGAACCCUAAAUCUUAAGAUGUCAACACAAAACUUCAAUCGCUUACGGGGUGUUUGGUUCCUAGAAUGUAAAAUUACCUCUAGUAAUAGGAUUAUCGGGUACUUAGUAUAUUACCGGAUAUGUUACGUUAUCCUCUUUGGUUCAUUUAGCCAAGAUGUAAUGUUUUCCUACCGCUGUUCCCCUCCCCUCCCCUGUUGCCAUUUAUCAUCGUUGACCCCUCUCAUCUCGCUAUUCAUCCUCGUUGACUCAUCCGUUCCCAUCUCGCCAUUCAACAUCGUUGACCCAUCUGCUCCCAUCGUGAAAAAAUAUUUUCCUCCCCUCCCUGUUGCCAUUCAUCAUCACUGAUGUCUCCUCUCCUAAUGUUCAUCAUUGUCAACCCAUUCGCUCUCAUCCCACCAUUCAUCACCGCCGACUAAUCCACUCCCCUCUCGCCAUUCAUCAUCGCGAAGCUCGACCCUCACCCCUAUUUUUUCAACAAUAUUAAAAGUAUCCAUUUUUUCCUUCUUAAUAUUGUAAUUGAAAUUAUUAGGAUUUUUACACAAACAUAUAUAUUUCUUGUUUUUUUAAAUAAAUAUUUUUUUGCAUAUGUAUGUCUUGGUGUUUUAAUGUUUUUUCUUUGUUCAUUUGGUGCAUUAUUUUAUAGCAACCGAUUGUUGGGAAUUUAUUUUUAAGAAAAUUUUUUAUUAGAGAAAUGUAUUUUUUAAUCAAAUUGGGGAGUUUAGUAUUUAUUUUAUCAUCUAAUUUUAUUUUAUUUAGUUCUAUUCUAUUCUAAUUUCCAUUAUCCCUUCGAGUAUAAAGAAUUGCUUGUUUCACAUCCUCAUGCUAACAAAUAGAAUAAGUUGCACAAGGAUAUGCAUUUUCUGUUAUAACAUUGAUGGACUAAAAUUUGUUAUUUUUUUGCAUAUUGAACUGAUGCGUACAUGAUUAAUUGGCAAAAGGUUUUCUGUUUCAAGUAAAUAAAUCAAGAGGUGCGGAACAUAGGUAAGCUACUUCUAAAGUUGAUUAUCUUAUUAAUGAAAUUUGAUUUGUAUCAUUUGUUUGACACCUUCUUGGUUCCGCUCGAUAUUUUCUGCAAUAUCAAUUUUGGUGCAAGGGAAAGGACAUUGUUGAUGACUUGAUAUAAAAAAAUCAUUGAUUUGGGUUUUUGAAAUUGAUAAAGAUUUUGUUUUAGUAAUUAGGAGUUUUUUUCCACUAAGAAAAAUAUCAAUGAUGAUCAGAGUGUAGAUUUUGCAGCUUAAAUAAUAGUUUUACACCAAGUUAUUUUGAUGAUAUAAACAUGCAAUUUGCAUUAUGAUAUACCUGGCACUUUUAAGUCUAAAAUAUAUGAUCUAUGAUUUGAAUUAUGUUGGUGUUGCUACAUGCUAAUUGGGUGUGAAUUAAUAUAUGGUUGAGGUUGAAAAUAAUAAAUAUGGGGUAGAGUAACACAUUUGAUUUAGUUUAAAUUUGCAAAAUGGGUUAUGAUGGUGUUCAUUGCAAUUUAUAGCAUAAAAUCUCUUAUUAUUUUUGGUACUUUACAUAAAUUUACAAAUGCCUUAUGGUCUUUGAACAAGCUUUCUUCCUUUGUUUAUGGAUAUUACGUUUUUAAUAUCGUAGGAAUUUUAAGGAGUUUGAAGGCAAGUUAGGUCUUCAAGAAAACAAUAUUGACGGACAAAGAAGUUUAAGGACAAAUGUCUUAUGGUCUUUGAACAAUCUUUCUGCAACACCCCUAACUCAUCUCCAUCGUCAGAAUAUUACGACAAUUAACAAGUCAACUAAUAUCUCAAAACAAUUCAAAAAUCAAUUUAAAUAUUAUAAAUCAUUAUCCAUUCAUUAUUCAUAGCAUAUAUACAAAAAGGGGACUUAAAUCGAGCCUACGGAACUCAAAAAUUAGUUUCGAAACAAGUAGGUACUAAUCUUAAACAAAAAAAAUGUAUUAAAAAUUGAAAAUAUGAGUCAAAUGGUCGUGUGUCUCACAUGGCCAUGUGGUAGACCGUGUCACAAAUUGUGUGCCCAAAAUUUCUUCAAACUCAAGCCAAUUCAUCUACAAUUUCUUAGACUCCAUGCCAAACCUUUACCAUCUCAUAAACUUAUUCAAAAAGUACCAAAACAUACCAAUUUACAUACAACCUAUGUGCCUAACCAAUAUGCCACAAUUGACACGACAAUUCAAAUAUGAAACAUCAACCAUUCAUGCCAUUCAAGUCAAUCAUACCAACAUCAACAAUUACCAACAUUCAUUACCAAAAUAUGCUAUUACCUAAACAUGUGUAAAGCAAAUCAAAACUUGACCAACAACACCUCAUUACCAUCUAUCAAAUAGGUACUAAACAUUUAAUACUUCAAAGUUUCAUACAAUCUCAUUCACAACCAAAAUACCAAAAACAUGAUCAUUAACUUGCAAAUAAACAUCCUAUAUACAUGCCACAAGUAACCAACUAUCAACCUUCAAAAUUCUACUGAAUCAAGUUGAUUCGAUUGACACGUUCUGAACGUCUAAAAUCUACAGAAAGAUAAUAAUACAAGUAAGUAUAUCAAAUACUUAGUAAGCUUAUGCAAUUUAAACUUCACUUACCUUAAUUUUUUAUCAUAUACAAAAUUCAAUUUGAGAUAUAAUUUAACUUAUCAAAAUUCAACCCACAUUUUUAAUAUGAACAUUCAUUAGUAUUUUUGUUUCCAAGUAAACCAACUUGAAUAUCAUAACUGAAAUAUAAUAGUCAUCUAGCCAAUCUCACAGAUAUGUCUCCAAGACCUUAAUAACAAACCUUUCCGAUAAAAUUUCGUAAAAGACUUUAGUAUACAGAUGAAAACAGUAAUGUCUGGUUACCUAAUAUGGUCAACCUACAUGGUAAAUUUCCUGGUCAGGGCUUAAUAUUUUUGUAUUCUCGAGUUCGCAAUAGAUGCUGGAACUUGGAACCUAUUUUUGUGUUCUCAAAUCUGCAAUGUAUGUAGGAGCUCGGAACCUAAUCCUGUAUUCUCGAGUGCGUAACGUAUGCAGCAGCUCGGAACCUAUUCUUGUAUUCUUGAGUCCACAACAUAUGCAGGAGUUUGAAACAUGGUCAAACUCAUAUACCUGUAUAUGAGCAUUUACUAAUUUCAUUGGGAAAUAUCUUGAGAUACAUCAUAAUUCCAACCCAACAACAACUAAUAUUUAUAGUCUUAAUAUAAUAGAUAAAGAUAAAUGAGUGGAUUCAUAGUGUAUGAACUUACUUGUCGAAAUGGUAACGGUUCAAUUAUCAGAGACUAAUUGACAAUAUUUCCUUUUCCUCGUACGUCCUCCAGUCGUUGAGAUUCUCGAUCUAAAGUAUAAUUUGAUUUAAUUAAUCAAUCCAAACAACAUAAAGCAACAUGAAAACAUCAUGUUCCAACUCAAUUUAAUUUAUACUAAAAAUUCCUCAACUUUUACAUUUACCACAAUUUAGUCCGCCGAAACUAUUAUAAUUCUCACAUUUAAGUUUCGAUUUCAAAAUAAAUCUCAAUUUAGUCCUCCAACAGUCCAAUAAAACACAAAAAUUCAUAAUUUUCCUACACAUUUUGGACUUAUUGCAUUUUAGUCCCUAUGUUCAAAAUUAACAAUUUUUUACUUUGCAAACUAGUCCAUUGACAUAUCUAAGCUUCAAAACUAACCAAAUAACCACAAAAGCUUCAAGAAAACAUCAAUUAUAACUUUAACAAACUUUAACAGUUUCACGAAAUAGCCCCUGGGUUAGUUAAAUUAAACUCUCGAGAUUCUAGAAACAUGAAAAUUACAAGAAACAGACUAGAAUAACUUACUCAAUCCAAAACGAAAGCUUGAAUACCCAAACCUAGCUUUUGCCCCUUUUAUUUUCGUAAGAAUAUGAAGAAGAAACAAGUAAAAUAAAAAUGUUUUCCUUUUCGUUUUUUUAUUUAUUUUAUAAUAUAAAUUAUAACACAUUUUAGCUAAAUAAAAUCCCACUUAUCGUCCAUCAUUAUUAGAAAUGAUAUAUUUACCAUUUAAAUCCCUUAAUAUACCUUAAUCAUGCUCUUUAGUUCAUAAAAUCAAUAAAGAUCAAAUUUUAUAUAUUUUAACGAUUUAGUCCUUUUUCUUUGAUUAACUAACUAAAUGUAAAAAUUAUUGAACCAAAAUUUAAUAAGACACUUAAAUAAUUUCAUAAAUAUUAAAUAAUUAAUAUUUAUUGAAUCACACGUCGAAGUUGUGGUCUUAAAACCACUGUUUCCGACACUACUAAAAACGAGUUGUUACACUUUCUUCCUUUGCUUAUGGAUAUUAUACUUUUAUUAUUGCAGGAAUUUUAGGGAGUUUGAAGGCAAAUUAGGUUUGCAAAAUAUAUAUAUUGACGAGUAAAAGAGUUUAAGGGCAAAUGUCUUAUGGUCUUUGAAUAAGCUUUCUCAUUUUGGACCAAACAUGGAGUAUCUGCCACUUGAUGAAGAUGAUGAGGAUGAAGAUGUUGGGUUCAGUAAUACUUGAUUAUUGUUUACAAAUGUAAGGGAUGAUGAUAGGUAUAUAUGGAUGGUGCACUUUUGCCACUGAACUGUUUGUCUAAUUAUGAAUGUCAACUCUUACUAUUUUUUAUCUUAGUUCUUAUUCCAAUUUUUCUUUCUUUUUAGAUAUGGAUUACAUAAUAUAAUCUAAUAUAUAUUUUUUAUGUAAAGUCAGUAAAGUAUAGUUAAAUUCAAAAGAAUAAAGACUUGUAUUUUCUUCAUAUAGCAUUCAUAAUGUCAUCCAAAUGGCUAAGAAGCUGUUAAGAUGAAUUAAUGCAUCUCAAAACCUCUAUACUAUAAAUUAAUAAAUUAUAUAAUGAUUUAACAACAAUAUUGAUUUACCAAUAUCUAUUAGACUUUACUAAAAUUUAUAAAACUUUAUCUAUAUUUCCAAAUUUUCUAAACCAUUACCAAGUCUUAAUAAUUCCCAGAAUUUCUAUUGUUUUGGCAGUAUAUUUAAUGAUUUACUAAAAUUUCUAAGGGUUUAUCAAAAUAUUUGAUGAGUUACAAAAAUUUCUAUUGUUUUACCAAUAUUUAUGAGACUUUAUCAAAAAAUUUUAGGCUUCACCAAUAUUUCCAAUUUUUCUAAACCUUAUACCAAAUCCUAACAAUUACCAAAAGUUCAAUGGGCUUAUCAAAAUAUCUAAGAAUUUGCCUAUAUAUCUAACAACUGACCAAAAUAUCUAACAAUUUAUCAAAAUUUCUAUCGUUUUACCAAUAUAUCUAGCAAAUUAUUAACAUUUCUAUCAUUAUGUCAAUAUUUAUGAGACUUCACCAAAAUUUCUAAUAUUCUACCAAUAUUUCUAAAUUUUCUAAAUCCUAUAUUAAGUCCUAAUAGUUACAAUUUUUUUUUUAAAGAUUUACCAAUAUUUCUAAGGAUUCCCAAAAUAUUUAACGAUUUACCAAAAUUUCUAAAGAUUUACCAAAAUUUCUAUCAUUUUACCAAUAUUUAUGAGACUUUACCGAAAUUUUAAAGAUUUUAUCAAUAUUUUUAAAUUUUCUAAACCUUAUACCAAGUACUAACAAUUACCAAAAUUUCUAUAACACCAAAAUAUCUAAGGAUUUACCAAUAUUUCUAAGCAUUUACCAAUAUAUCUAAGGAUUUACCAAAAAUUCUAUCUUUUUACCAAUAUGUAUGAGACUUUACCCAUAUUUCCAAUUUUUCUAAACACUAUACCAAGUCUUAACAAUUACUAAAAUUUCUAUGACUUUACCAAAAUAUCUAAUAAUUUACCAAAAUUUCUAAGGAUUUACCAAUAUAUCUAACAAUUUACCAAUAACUUUAAGGAUUUUCUAAAAUAUCUAAUAGUUUUCCAAAAUUUCUAAGGAUUUACCGAUAUAUCUAACAAAUUACUAAAAAUUUUAAAGUGUUACCAAAACAUAUAAUGAUUUACCAAAAUUUUCAAUGUUUUAUCAAAAUAUCUAACGAUUUACCAAAAUUUUUAUUGAUUUACCAAUAUUUUCUAAAAUUUUACCAAUAUUUUCAAAAUUUCUAAACCUUAUACCAAGUUUUAACAAAUAUCGAAAUUUCUAUGGCUUUGCCAAAAUAUCUAAGGAUUUAUCAAUUUAUCUAACGUUUUCCCAAUAUUCCUAAGGAUUUACUAAAAUUUUUAAGGAUUUACCAAAAUAUUUGACAGUUUACUAAUAUUUUUAAAGAUUUACCAACAUAUUUAACAAUUUAACAAAAUUUCUAUAAAUUUUACCAAUAUUUCCAAAAUUUUUAACUCUAUACCAAGUUUUAACAAUCACUAAAUUUUAUUACUUUACUAAAAUUUUUGUGACUUUACCAAUAUUUCUAAUAAUUUAACCAAAAAAAUAUGAGUUUACCAACAUUUCUCUACAUUUACCAAAAGAUCUAAAACUUUACCAAUAUUUUUAUCCAUUUACCACUUUUUAUACAGAUAUACUAAAAUAUGUAAUAUUUUACCAGAAUAAUUAACAUUUUCGACUUACCAAAUUAUCUAAAACCUUACAAAUAUUUCUAUCAAAUUAUGGAUAUUUAUAUGGAUUUAUGGAAUAUCUAAUAUUUUACUAAAAUUCUUAAAAACUCUACAAACUUUUUCUAAGUUUUUAUGUAGAAACGCCAAAUUAUUUGGUUGGCCUAACAUUUUUUUUUAUGCUUUAAUCAUGGACAAUUAUUUUUAAAAAGCUGAGUAAAUGGCACAGGUAACGCCACGUGUAAGAUAAAAUAAAUGCUAAUAAUUGAUUUGCUUAAAAGGGGUAUCAUCUAUCUAUCUUAAUAAUCAACUGUUAAAAGGUCGAUCAGACGGUCUACAAUCCGUGAUCAGAUGUACUGCUUUCCUUUAAUGAACAUUCCUUUCAUGGUUUACUGUUGUAAGUGGAAUGUUUCUGCAUUUCCAAAAUCUAUUACAAUUCAGGAUGGCAUGCUAUAUCAGUAUUCAAAUAAUUAAUCUGGAAGUAUAUCAAUUUAUUUUUCUUUUAAUAUUUUAUUUAAUUUUAAUUUUAAUCUUAUAUAAAAUAUGAGAUAAAUUAGAAAAAAAAUAACUAAAUAAAAUGAAUAUAUGAAAAGAAACACAAUAUAAAGCGAUUAUUAAUGCAUCAGACUUUAUGCAUAAAAAAAUAGAAAUAUUUAUAAAAAAAAUUAAAUUAGUAUGAAGAAUUAUUUUUAAAAAAUCAUAUUUACAUUUGAUAUAACAAGGUAUAUGCUUCCAUCAUAAAUUUAUGUCAUUUUUAGUUUAAAAACUAAACUAUUGUCGUCAUCAAUUUUUCAUUUUCCUACUAUUUCUAAGUUUUGGGUUACGAUUUUCCCCAUUAAUGUUUCUGUUAAUUGUUAUUUAAUAUAAUUUUAAUUACAAAUUAAAAUAUAUUUCUUUUUAAAUUAUAUUUCCUAAAUGUAUUAAAGAAAUUCAUAAAAAUAAAGCGUAAACUAAUCAUUGGCUUUUAUUUUCAUUUAUGAAGUUGGUUUAAAAAGGGUGGUACACGUAUUAAUGUUGUUUAAAUUUCUCUCUUCUCAACUGUUUUUUUUUUUAUUAGAGAUAAACGUUGGAUCGAAUUUAGUAAAAGACUAUCGAGUUGACGAGUAAUGUUUUAUCAUUCUAAUUUAAUUUAAAUUUUUUUUAAAAUUGAGUUGAGUGAAAUGAAAUAUGAGUCGAAUCGAAUUGAGUGAAAAUAAAAAUUAAACAUAAUAAAUUAAAAUCUUAUUACAAUAUAACUAAUUUCAUGUUAGAGCACGUAAAUCUUAAACUAUAUAUAUUUGAAAACAUUUUCAAAGCAAAUAAGAAAAAGAAAACAUACUUUAGUAUGAUAAACUUGAAUCAUUAAUUAACUUAUUUAGGUCUACAAAUUAUUAUUUUAAAAAAAUUUAAAAAUUCUUUAUAUAUGCUUUAGAUUUUUUUUAUAAUUUUUUAAAAAAUAUAAAUUUUAGAAUUUUUAUAAAUAUUUUAAUUUAAAAUUUUCUCUUUUUUUGUAAUUUUUGUUGAGAAUGACCAAUUUGUUCAUUUUUAAAAUUGACAGGAAUCAAAAAGAUAUUUACAUUAAUAUGUUAUUUGAAUUACUCAAGUUAUUUGAAUUAUAAAAUUCAACUCGACUUGAACUCGAAAGUUGAAUUACUUAUGAGAUAGUUUUUAACAAGAUUAAUUUAAUCAACAAAAUACUUCUCAAACAAUUUUCUAGAACAACUUUCCACUGACCUUUUAAGAACAAGACAUCGGAAUCUGGAAUUUUUUACCAUCGGCGUCGUUCCAACUCUGGAUGGGUUAUUUUCAUAAUAACCCCCCGAUCAUUAUAAAACUAUUCAUCAAGUUCUUCCACUUUUUUAUAUUUACCUUAUUAAUCCUUUCCAUUUCAUUGUUUUCAAGAUUUUCGAAAUUUUAUCUUCAUAAUUACAAUAGUAGUCCCCAAUAUAUUAACAAAUUUUUAAUAAAAUGUUUUUUUUCCUUACAAAUCAAAUAAUUGGACAAAUAAUGCUUAAAUUAGUUAAAUUAAUUAUGAAAUUUCCAGAUUUUAUAAUACAAAAUGCAUUUCUUAAAACAUUAAAAAAAUAAUUUUGUAAACAUUCAAUAAUAAUAUUAAAAAAAGAUUGUUUCUAUGUUUUGCAGAGCUCACGAAUUAGUAUAAAAUUUAAAUUUUAUUUCUUAACCUAUUAAGUUAAAUUAUGUUAAUUUCCAAAAAUUUUAUAUGAUGUAUGAUAUCCCUAAAGCUUCAACAUUUAGAAAAAUAUUUUUAUUUAAAACAUCAAUCUUAAUUUCAUUUUAAAAAACUCUACUUAUAAAUUUAAUAGAUAAUAAGAAAUAAUUGUUGUAAAUUUAUAACGAAAUAAAUAAAAUAAUAAAAUAAUUCAUUUAAUAGCGUAAUAUAAUAUGUAUCAUAUUUUUAAUUGAAUUGCGGUGACCUAUAAUCCCUAAAAUAUGCCAAUAAUUUUUUAUUUAUAAAAUACAACCAAUAAUUUAAAAGAUACCAAUUGAUGAUAAUUAUUUAAUUUCAUUCACAUUAUAUUAUCUUUAUUGUAUUUAUACAUUUUAACUUAUACAAAAUUUAAAAUCUCAAUUAAAUUUUUAUUUGAUAAAAAAACUAGUAUAUGUAUAUAUGAUUGUUAUAACCCUUCCAAAAUUUUUUUAAUUAAUAUAACACAAAAUAAAUUAGUAUAUAAAAUAAACACAACAAAUAAUUAAUAAAAUUAAUACGAAAGAUGAAAAAAAAACAUAACAUAAAUGAACGAAUACGUGGAUCUAUUUGCAUUAAUGUAAAAGUUGUACAUAUUUUUGUAAUUUUUAUAUGAUCAACCAUCAUAUCGUAUAUGUUUGAUUUAAUAUAAAAUAAAAAAAUAAUUAAAUUUAUAAUAAUAUUUUAAACAUAAAAAGAAUACAAAAAUUCAUUAAUUUUUUUUAUUGUCUUUGCUCCCUCCCUCUUCUUUUAUCUCUUCCCUCACCUAAUGUCGAAAAUAGGAAACAGGUAGAGGUAUCCAAAAUCUCCAGUAAUAGUGUAAAGAAGAAGAAUAAAGCAAUUUCAUGUGAAUUGGGGAUUAAGAAGGUUGAUAAAAUAAAUAAAUAAAAAUCAACUUUCAGAUCUAUUUUUCUUUUUAUAUAGACAUUCCUCAUGUUUUCUUUCCAUCAAUUUCAAAUGCUCAUAGUUAAUUAAAAAAAUUACAGAAUUGAACAAAGCCAAUAAGACGUUGAAAAAUGGAUCGUCAUACUUUCCUAAUAUUAUAUUUGAAUUUCUAAAAUAUUUUAUUUUGAAUUCAACUCAUUUUUCUGUUUCAAAGUUACAAUCAAAAUCUAGAUAUCAAUAUCUGUUUUUAUUUUUUAUUUUUAUUUUUAUUUUAUCUAAUAUCUUAUUCAUACUUAUUGAGUUUUGAAGUUCCUGGUAAUAAUUUUUUCCUUUUUUAGAGGACCGAGUAUUAAAUUUUAAGUAAGUGAAUAGAGUUCAAAUAUUUGUAUAAGUAUAGCGGACUUUAAUGAUAAAUAAACGGAAAAUUAUUUGGAUUAUUUUAAGCGGAAUUGAAAAGCUUCACGAAUUGGAUGAAAUACUGUCAUGUGUCUUUAAAAAAUUAAAUAAAUGAACAAAGAGCAUUGACAAGGGUAAGUGAAUUUUUUUGCUUUAGCAACUACUCUUAGAGUUCAAUAUCCUCUGUUGACAAUCUUUUUCUGUUGGCAACCUCCCUAAUGGGGUUGGAAGAAAUUGAAUACGGACAGUUUGACUCAUUGAAAUCUUGGUAAGACGGAGUAGGUGUGUAACACCCCUUACUCGAUCUGAGCUACGAGAUGCCACAUUCGUUGUCUGAGCAACUUUAGUUAAACAAACAUAAUUUUUCCAUAAAUACAACAAUUUCUUCUAAAUAUAUGAUUAUUGAAUCAUUAAAUCAUUUCAUAUUUCAAACUAGGAUUUAUACGAGCUUAUGAAAGCUCUAUUGAUAACCUGGAACCGUUGGAGGACAAAAAUGCAACAUUUUUAAAAGUUUUCAAGUUGAUGUCACGACAUCAAUGGUUCAAUGUUGCAACUUCCAAAAUAGUAUACAAGCUUCCUUAACCGAGGACCAAAUUGCAAAGCUCUCCAAACUAUACUAGAUGGACGUCACGACCUAGGGGUUCAACAUUGCGACUUCAAAGGAUGGUGUUGCGACAUCCAAUGGGUGGUGUCGUGACUUUGAAGGCAGUAGCCAACUUUCCAACCUAAGGACCAAUUUGUAAAAAAAUUUAAACAUCAUAAAGUCGACAUCGCAACAUCAAAUAGGAGACGUCUGGACUGUUGUUCCAAUAGGGUCGGAAGCGUGUAAAUUAUUGUACUAAAAAAUCAUACAAAGUUCAAUUCCCAAGGAAGAGAGGUGGAUCACAUGGAUCUCUUAAAUACCAAGUCUUUCCUUAGACAGAAUAUCCCUUCUAUAGUAAUUUAAUAGCACAAUUAAAUACUACUAUUAUACCCUCAAAUAUUGAAAGAAAAAUAGGACAAGAAAGAACACAAGAGAUUUAACGAGGUUCGGUAAAUUAUACCUACGUCCUCGGGCACUAACACCAGAUGAUAACUUUACUAUCUCCAAAGUAUUACAAACAAAUAGAAUUCCUUAAGAAUUCUCAAAUGGGAGAAGAGAGAAAACUAAGGGAGAAAGAUUGGUUGGGAUAAAUUGAAAUGAGAAAUGAGAAGGCCUAUUUAUAGUUGAGGUUUAAGGACCAAACAAUAAAUAGCCCAUUAUCUCAAGGACCAAAAAAAAUUAUCCCUUGCCACUUUCCCAAAGUUGGUGGUUGUCAUUAUUGAUUGUCUCCCAUUAAUGUUAAUGGCAACCAUUAUUAAUUGUCUUCCAUUAAUGUUAACAAUCUCCACCUUGAAGAUUUGAUUAGGAUAAUCACAUCUUCACACACUUCCUUCAACUCCCCAAAUUCGAUAAAGCUAUCUUUUGUAGUGCCUACAAAUGCGCUCUCGAGCGCCAUACACCUGAAGGUGCUCAAAUUCUCAGGAUGUUAAUCAAGUUCAAACAAUGAUUAAACUUGAUUGUUGUUACCACCUUGGUCAUCAUAUCUGCGGGAUUAUCUGCUGUCGGAAUCUUCUGAAGUAGAAUUUUUCCUUUUUCAAAGACUUCCCGCACAAAGUGAUAUCUUACGUCGAUAUGCUUGGUUCUUGAAUGAUAGACUUGAUUUUUCGCUAAAUGAAUAGCGCUCUGACUGUCACAAUAUAAACUUAUGUGACUUUGAACAACUCCUAAGUCUUUCAACAAUCCAUUAAGCCAAAUAGCCUCCUUAACAGCUUCUGUAACUGCCAUAUAUUCUGCCUCUGUAGUAGACACAGCUACUGUAGACUGUAAGGUAGACUUCCAACUCACUGGGGCUUUCGCAAGAGUAAACAGAUACCCCGUAGUUGAACGACGUUUAUCUAAAUCACCAGCAAAGUCGGAAUCAACAUAUCCAACUACAAACUGACCAAGUGCUUCAUCCUGUUCAAAAAUUAAACCAACAUCUACGGUUUUUCGAAGAUACCGUAGAAUCCAUUUCACAGCUUGCCAAUGUCCUUUUCCAGGAUCAUGCAUAUACCUGCUCACAACUCCAACAGCUUGUGAAAUGUCAGGCCUCGUACACACCAUCGCAUACAUCAAACUCCCAACUGCAUUAGCAUAUGGGACUUUCGCCAUAUAUUCUCUUUCAUCUUCAGUCUUCGGAGAUAAUUGAGCACUAAGUUUCAAAUGAGAAGCAAGUGGGGUACUUACAUGUUUUGUGUUUUCAUUUACACCAAAACAUUGUAAUACCUUUUUCAGAUAUUGCUUCUGAUUUAAACAGAGCUUGCCUCUCGGUCUAUCUCUACUUAUCUCCAUGCCGAGAAUCUUCUUGGCCUUACCUAGAUCUUUCAUCUCGAACUCUUGAUUCAACUGAGCCUUCAGCUUAUCUAUCUCAUUUUGGCUCUUCGAAGCGAUUAACAUAUCAUUAACAUACAAGAGUAGAUAAAUGAAAGAUCCGUCAUGCAGAUUCUGCAAAUAUACACAAUUGUCAUAUUUGCUUCUUGUGUACUUCUGCCUUCUCAUAAAGCUAUCAAAUCGCUUGUACCACUGCCUCGGGGAUUGCUUCAAUCCAUAUAGCGAUUUGUUAAGCUUACAAACCCAAUUUCUACCACCAGCAUCUGUGUAUCUUUCUGGCUGAGUCAUAUAGAUCUCCUCUUCUAACUCACCAUGCAAGAAAGCCGUCUUAACAUCAAGUUGAGCUAGCUCCAAAUUCAACUGUGCUACCAAGGCCAACAAAAUUCUAAUAGAGGAAUGCUUCACAACAGGGGAAAAUACAUCAUUGUAGUCAAUUCCCUCCUUCUGAGCGUAGCCUUUAGCUACCAAUCUUGCCUUGUAGCGAAUAUCCUUCUUGCUAGGAGAUCCAUCUUUCUUUGCGAAUACCCACUUGCAUCCGAUUGCCCUUUUACCUUUCGGUAAUUGCGCCAACUCCCAAGUAUUGUUCUUCCGGAGAGACUGCAUUUCUUCAUCCAUGGCGCUUUUCCAUUUAUCACUUUCUAAGCUUUGCAUUGCUUCUUGAUAAGUGAUAGGAAUAUCAUCAACAACGGGAAGGGCGUAGGCCACCAUAUCAGUAAAUCGAGUAGGUUUACGAAUUUCUCUCCGUGGCCUUGCAACUGUAACUGGUUCUGGUGUACUUAGUGGUUCUUGGGUCAGAACCUCUUCAACCUCUAAUUCCUCCAUUGUGGCUGGAGAAUUAGACUUAUUAACUGGGCAAAUCCCCAUCUGCUCAAACUCCACCUGUUUUGGAGUACACUCCACCUGCUGUGGAGUAUUGCUCGUCUGAAUAUCUUUAUCUGCUACCUUUUUCAAUGUGGCAGAUUCAUCAAAGGUAACAUCUCUGCUACAGAUCAUUUUCUUUGUGCUUAAGCACCAAAGACGAAAUCCUUUCACUCCAGAAGUGAUUCCCAUAAAGAGAGCUUUCUUUGCCCUCGGAUCUAACUUUGACUCCUUCACAUGGUAAUAUGCAGUGGUUCCAAACACAUGUAAGGAAUCAUAAUCUGUAGCCGGUUUUCCAGACCAUACCUCCAUAGGAGUUUUUCUUUCUAAUGCAGAUGAUGGCAAACGAUUAACAAGAUGGCCAGCGUAUGUCACAGCCUCAGCCCAAAAUUGCUUGCCCAACCCAGCAUUGGACAACAUACAUCGAACUUUCUCCAGCAAUGUUCGAUUCAUACGCUCUGCCAAUCCAUUCUGCUGUGGUGUAUCCCUAACUGUGAAGUGUCGAACAAUACCAUACUCUUGGCACACAUCGAAGAACGAAUCACUUUUAUAUUCCCCUCCAUUAUCCGUCCUAAGCUGCUUGAUUUUCUUGCCAGUCUGGUUUUCGAUCAUAGUUUUCCAUUUAAGAAAAACUCUAAGCACUUCAUCCUUAGUUCUCAUGGUAUACACCCAAACUCUUCUGGAAAAGUCAUCAACAAAAGUAACAAAGUAGUGUUUUCCUCCCAAUGAAGGUGUCUUGGAAGGCCCCCACACAUCUGAGUGAACAUAUUCUAAAAUGCCUUUUGUAUUAUGGAUAGCAGUACCGAAUUUUACUCUCUUUUGCUUUCCCAGAACACAAUGCUCGCAAAAUUUUAAUUUGCAAGCCUUUGUACCUUUCAACAAUCCUUGCUUUGCGAGAAUUUGCAAGGAUUUUUCGCUGGCAUGUCCCAACUUCAUAUGCCACAACUGUAUUGAGUCCAAUUCUUUGUUGCCGGAAGCUGCAGCGACUGCUCCAAUCACUGUACUACCUUGGUAGUAAUACAAGUUAUUUUUCCUGAUGCCCUUCAAUAUCACAAGUGCGCCAUAUGUCACUUUCAAAAUCCCAUCUCUCAUAGUAACAACUGAACCAUUGGAUUCUAAGGCUCCCAAUGAGAUGAGAUUUUUCUUCAAACUGGGCACGUACCGAACAUCAGUCAGAACUCUGGUUGAUCCAUCUUUAUUCUUUAAUUGGAUUGAACCUAUCCCAACAGUUUUACAGGCAUUGUCAUUGCCCAUAUAAACAACUCCUCCAUUUAGUUCUACUAAAUCAGAGAACCACUUCCAGUUAGGGGACAUAUGAUAGGUACAACCCGAAUCCAAUAUCCACUCAUCUGAAUGGAACGACGAUGAUGAUGCAACCAGUGAUAGUUCAGAGUCACUAGUAUCAUGCUUAGCAACACAAGCAUCUACAGCAGCUUUUCCCUUAUUCUUCAACUUUGGACAAUUUUUCUUCCAGUGGCCUUUCUCAUGACAAAAAGCACAUUCAUCUUUCCCGAGUCUGGACUUUGACUUUGAUCUCCCCUUUUGAGUUUUCUUCCGAGUGUAUGAACGACCUCGGACUACUAAAGCUUCUAUAUCUCUGAUUGAGUUUUUCUGUUUGUCCUUCUUUCUCUGUUCAUAACUGUAUAAGGCCGCACAAACUUCGCUUAGAGAUAUAUCACUCCUGCCAUGAAGUAGAGUAGUUUCUAGGAACUCAAACUCCUCAGGAAGUGACCCCAACAGCAUCAAAGCCAAAUCUUCAUCUUUGAAUGUCUCAUCCAUAUUCUGCAAAUCAGUGACUAACUGAUUAAAUUUGGUGAUGUGAUCAUUCAUUGUGGUACUUGGGACGUAUGUGAAGCGAAACAGUCUUUUCUUCAAGUGGAGCUUAUUUUGACUGUUUUUCUUCAAAAAUUUUUCUUCAAGUGCCACCCACAACUUAUUUGCAGAAGUCUCCUUUGAAAAAGCAUACCUUUACUCUCGAGAAAAGCAUGAUCGAAUUGUGCCACAUGCCAACCGAUUGAUCACCUUCCAAUCUUUCUCCUGUACAUCAUCUGGUUUCUCUUCAUCAAUGGCAAUGUCUAGACCCUGCUGAAAAAGGGCAUCUAGAACCUCACUUUGCCACAUACCAAAAUGACCCGUGCCAUCAAAGAUCUCCACGGCCAAUCUUGCAUUUGCAAUUGUCGGUCUUGUCCACAUGGACGAUGUUGAAGCUCCUACACCGACCGUUUUCUCCAUAAUCUUUCAAUAUACCUAAGGAAAUCUUUUCUGAUGUGGAAGAUCAGUUUAAACUGCAACCACAGAGCAUACUACGAUUAACCUUCGGCUCUUGAUACCACUUGUUGUUCCUAUAGGGUCGGAAGCGUGUAAAUUAUUGUACUAAAAAAUCACACAAAGUUCAAUUCCCAGGGAAGAGAGGUGGAUCACAUGGAUCUCUUAAAUACCAAGUCUUUCCUUAGACAGAAUAUCCCUUCUAUAGUAAUUUAAUAGCACAAUUAAAUACUACUAUUAUACCCUCAAAUAUUGAAAGAAAAAUAGGAUAAGAAAGAACACAAGAGAUUUAACGAGGUUCGGUAAAUUAUACCUACGUCCUCGGGCACUAACACCAGAUGAUAACUUUACUAUCUCCAAAGUAUUACAAACAAAUAGAAUUCCUUAAGAAUUCUCAAAUGGGAGAAGAGAGAAAACUAAGGGAGAAAGAUUGGUUGGGAUAAAUUGAAAUGAGAAAUGAGAAGGCCUAUUUAUAGUUGAGGUUUAAGGACCAAACAAUAAAUAGCCCAUUAUCUCAAGGACCAAAAAAAAUUAUCCCUUGCCACUUUUCCAAAGUUGGUGGUUGUCAUUAUUGAUUGUCUCCCAUUAAUGUUAAUGGCAACCAUUAUUAAUUGUCUUCCAUUAAUGUUAACAUGGACAAGAUAGCCUAGUGUCGCGACAUUUAGGCUAUGAAGUCGCAAUAUUCACAAUAGCCCACUAAGUUCCCAUUUCCAUACAAUUCAUAGCUAACAUAAGACUACAAUUGAACUUGGUCAUUCCACACCUAUGAUAGAUCAUUAUACUACUUUAAUUCAACCAAUACCAUUUUCAUGCAUGACCAAUACCAUUUUCAUAUAAGCACAAUCAAAAUACCAUAAUUCCACACCAAUUUAUACCAAUUAAAGCUUAUGACAUUUAUACCUAAGUCUAACAUUUAACUACACCAUUUCCAAACUAUGCAUUAAAUUCAUCUCGUCAAUUAUUUCAAUUUGUAACUUUUCACAUACCAAACUCAAGCAAGUUCAAAAUCAUCAUUCAUAUUAGCACCAAGCUUGACCAAACUAUGCAUCAAUUAGAUUAUAAGUCAUGCUAAACACAAGCUCAACCAUUACCACCACUACAGCAAAAUAGGUUUUUAGCGGCAUUUUUUAGCGUCGCUAAAAUUAUUUACGACACUUGUAAACGCCGCUAACAUUUUGUGGCGUUUAUGAAAAAAAUGCCGCUAUAGAACAUGAUCUUUAGCGGCGCUUUUCUCACAGACGCUGCUAAAGAACAUGACCUUUAGCAGCGUCUUCCCAAAAAUGCCGCUAAAGAACAUGACAUUUAGCGGCGCUUUUCUCACAAACACCUCUAAAGAACAUGAUCUUUAGCGGCGCUUUUCCCACAAAUGCCGCUAAAGUACAUGACCUUUAGCGGCACUUUUCUCACAAACGUUGCUAAAGAACAUGACCUUUAAAAAAAUUAUUUUAAUUAAAUAAUAUUUAUUUCUAUGAUAAAUAUUAUAUUAUGUUUAAUUUUUGAAAUUUGAACUUUAAACUAUAUGCUUUUAAGGAUAAAUAAAAAAUAUUAAUUAAAUUAAAUUUUCUAUUAAAAUUUGAACUUUAAAACUAAAUAUAAAAAUUAAUGAAUUUAAAUUUAAUACAUAAACAUUGAUUUAAUAUGUAAUUUAAUACAUAAAAAAAACACAUAGACACACUCACAAAGUAUUACUAUUUCUAAAACAAAAUUCAUUCUAGUGAGAAAAGAAUGCCAAAUCAUCAUCACCUCUCAUUAAUCAAAGGAAAAAGAUCAAAAAAGAAGAAGAAACAAUAUACAACAGAGGGUUGGUUCAAGCUUAGUUGAAGCCAAAGUAUUGCAAUGCCUGCAUAUAACUUAGAGAAAUCCUUUGAUGCUUUCAAGUCAACCGCCAGAGAAUCCAAAACACCGGAACAGAAAGCCAAAGUAUGCACUUGUAAGCCAAAGUCAGGGCAGUAAGGAAAUCACUUAUACGACCCUCAAAGCCACAUAUGUCAAAGCACAUUAUCUGAUCUCUUUGAAUUAUGAUAUGGAAAGAUAAAUUUUUAAUAAUGCCACCAUAAAGGAAUCAAAAUUUGUUUCGAAAAAAGAGAAAUAAAACAUUGUUGCUAAUAACCGGAUAGACAAAAAAAACCAAACAGCAUAACUGCACAGGCUCAAGAGCAAGAGGGAAUUAAAGGAACUAACCUCCAUAUCUAAGAAUAUCCUUUUGCUGAAAAGAAUCUCAAUUGUCUGCAAUAAAUGUAUCACCAAAUACAUAUAUAUGAGAAAAAGAAAAUAAUAUUCCAUAGUUAACUCAUAUCAAGAAAAACUAGAGGUUUCACAAUACAAUGGAAUGCUUCCGUUAUUUAACAAGGAACAAUACUAUUAAUUUGCAAAAAGUAGAAUAGAAACAUGCUGCACUACUGUUGUUUAACGUUAUAUAGAAAUUAUUCUUUAGUUCUAAUAUCUAAAAUUACAAGCACAAAAGGCAAUAUCAGGGUCUGAUGAACAGUUAGAUUCGACUAAAAAUACCAGUAAAUCCAAUAAGCCCUAAUUAUAAAUCUAAAGGUUUGAAAUCUAACUUUGGAACAAAUUAUAACACAAAACUAACAACAAAAAACACAAAAUAGACAAACAAUCACGCAGCAAAACUAGAGCAAAUACAAUAAUUUUAAAAAGAAAAAAAAAGAUGAUAAAUCACAUAAAAGCUAAAAACAAGUAGCAAAGUCGAACUACGCAGGCGAUAAGAAGAAAAGAAAGUUACCUUAAUCCACAGGGUAAACUAAAAGAUAAAGCCAGCAACAAAUCCCCGAGGUAAUUUGAGUGCCUUGCAAUUCCCCUAUAAAGAAAUACUGCAAUUCAACAUGGUUUUACUUAUGUAGCUCACUUAUCUCAGUUAUUCAACGGUAUUAUUUAGAAUACUGUGGAUGAAUUACAUUGGGCAACAUGCUUUAUUUACAUGAAUAACUUGUCCAACGCAAGUCUUUCAAGUUGGUAAAUAUUAGACACUAAUGUAAUUCAUCAUUAGAUAUAAAUAGCAAUGUCAUCAUUAGAUACUGGAGCUUGGUACGGAAAGGCAACUAUUAGGAAUUAAUCCUCAUAACUAUAAAUGGAUAUGAUCAUACUCUUUUACCUAUGUCUAAAUAUAUUUUGGAUACAAGAGUCGAACAGAAACACUUUAGGGAAAAUAAAGAAUCAGUGUAACAUAGGAAUAAAAUACUUGACAAGUGGUCAAACAUACUGAAGAAUGCAACAAAUGUUCAAUAUGAAUGUUGAAGAAUAAAGAGCAGUGAAACAACAAUGUACCUCCCGAAAACCUUCAGACACAGGACCAUCAUCCUCUGAGGCAGCCAGCUCCUGCUUAACUUUUUCUAAUCCCUUAAUUAUAGCUUGCAUUUUUUCUGCUAAAUAUUUUAAUUGUACCUGCAAGGACAGAAGGCUUAAAACUCAACAUACUGUUACCAACAAGAGUUGGACAAGGAUAAUUUUAAGAGAAAUAGAAGUUUCAAAAUAACAUAGGUUAACAAACUAUAAAUUUCAUAAGCUAAAGGACUAAUGGAAACCUUAGAUGUAGCCUCAAGGCUGACCAAGUCCAAGUGAAAUUUAAGAAGUUCUGGUGUCCUGGUUGCUAGGACCUGAGCCACAAUAAAAUACAGCUGAUAUCAAUCGAAAUUGAUGGUUCAUUUUUGCAUCAGAAACAAGUGACUAGAAGUAAAAUAACAUAUAAAGUAGGUGUAAAACAUAAAUUAGUCAAUGGGUUUGUAACGGGUUCAGUGGGUGGAUUUUUGUCGGUCCUACCUUUGACCAACCUAUAAAUAUUUCCACCUGAUACUUGCCCUGAACUUGAACUUAACUUUAGGCUCUAGCACUUGGACCCGACCCCAAACUACCCCACCUCAAAACUUAAGUUCUAUUUUCAAAAAUCUACCAACUAAGUUAAAUACAUACUAUAAAGUCCAGUAAACACUAACAAACUGUAUAUAAAACUAAAAGUGUGAUAUUUUAGAAAAUAUCACUGGCUUGGGUGGUAUAGAUUUUAUUUAAAAUGCCCUUGACUCAACCCUAAAACUUUCAAUCCCUGAAACCAAUUUUCAAGAAAGAAAAAAGCCUAUAAGGUUGGGUUAAGCUGGGAUCUAAUAGGCUCAAGUUAUUCUCUAAACUUAAAUCUUACAAGAAAAAUGACCUUAAUAACACCAAUGAGGAAGAAGGAAAUAAAAAUUACCAAACCUUACAAAGGUAAUGCAUUAGUGUCAUCUUGCUAUUAGAAGCACGUGUCUUUGAGAGCUUUAGAAGACUGUCCAAAUUAAAUCCAAUAGCAGAACCAGUAUUAUAAGAAUAAUUUUGAAAAUAUUAAAGGAACACACAUCCUUACGAAUCACAUUGCUCAAGCACCCGUUUUCCAACUCAUAUUUAACGGGUAUGGUGGCAUGAUAUGUGUCGAACACAUAUCCAUAUCCAAUAACAUAGCUUACUAAAAUCUGAUAGCAACCAUCCUAAAUGAAAAGAAUACUUCAAACAUUGAAUCUGUUACUCCAAGACUACACAUAACACAAGGUUUCCUCUUUCCAGUUUAAGAAAUACUGCUCAAAAUAUGUGACUUAACCUCAUCCGGAAGAGUCUAGAUAAUAAUCAAAGUAAUACAUCAUAUGUGGUUUAGCUAGUAAAUCUCUUCUCUUGUGCUAGGAGUUAGAAAUGAGUGUCAAAUACGAUUAUAUAUAUGACACAAGUAUGUUUAGUAUUUUCAAAGUUCUUUCAUAUAUUUAGAGGGUGUUUUUAGGGGAAUAUCUCCAUACUCUUAAGUGAAUAUGUGUCGAAAGCAUGUACUUCAAGUAAAACAGAGAGUGUGAAAAACAUAGCUCUUACACGGGUAUGUUUAAUUUUUUUUAAGAUCUUCGUUUAUUUGGAGUCUUUAAGGAUCAUAUCCAUAAGCUUAUGCCUGGAUAUGCAUUGGAUACAGGUUUGGAUACAAGUACUUAAAAUAAUUAAAAAAACAUGGAGAGUCAGAGCAUCAUAGGUUCUAGCAUAAAAGACUGAAGCAAAAAGGAAAACUGAAUAUAUAAUUUACCCAUUGCAGUUCCUUGAUUCAAGGUAUUUCCCAAACAAAGGAUUUUCUUCAUGAUCUCCUUCAAUUUACAGGAAUUUCGAACCUAAAUUAAGCAAUACAAAAGUAGUUAAGAGAAUUACAAAAUACGAACAAAUAAAUAAAAACCACUCUUAAGUCAAUUCAAUAAUAUUAUGAUAUACCUCUUCACAUGCAAAAUUUACAAUGUUUAAGAUUGUUUUAAAUUCAGAAAUCUGCAAAACACAAGUAAAACAGGUGAUUAAACAAGAAAAAAUUAGUCCACCAUGUAAAGACCCAAAACCAAACAUUGUUUAUAGAAUAUACAAGAUAACUACUUACUGGUUGAACGUUUCAUGUUCCUGCAAAACUUACUGCCAUAUCUGUACCGGAAUGCCUUAACAGGAUGAUCAAGAUCAUCGAAGUCAAUACCAUAAUCCUACAAGCAGCAUGCAUAGCCUUUUACUAGGGAUAAAGAGGAAAAAAAAUACAUGAAGAAUCAUCAUUUAAUGUAUAAGAAUACUCAUGCAUACAUAUAUGCCAAAAAAAUGCAUUAGAACCAAAAAUAUUUACAUAGACUAACCGCAUUAAUUUCAUUUUAUUUUCUUUUUCAACCUUAUGAUAAGAAACAAAACUCAAAGCUUCAUAAUAAUAUAAGUAAUUAGCAAUAGAUAAUCACUCACCCAAGUAAGCUCUUCAAGUGCAUGAACUUCUCUAGUUGUGAAGAAGGCUAGCUGUACAUAGUAAACGCUCAAUUACACUUGCUAUUGCAAAGGUUUAAAGCAAGCAAAACAAACAAGACUAGGAAGGUGGAAGAAAUCAGUAUUUCAUACAUGGUAGUAACGAAUAUCCGAGGUCUCCACUUCAACAGGAAUUUCAAUCAAGUUUGCAUCGAAGCAUCUAGAAAAGUAAGAAACAAAAAAGGAUCAAAUAUUUUAAAUUUCAACUUAUUGAAGGUGCUCGGACAUUCCUUCCAAUGCAUUAGCCAUCAUAUACCUUUACCUAUAAUGGUAAUUAAAACAAAACCUCAAUGAUGGAAAAUGAGACAUUCUUGUAGGUAACCUUUUCAUUAGUGCUAACAACUCAUCUCAUGUUUGUAACCCCUCACCCUCCACUCACCAUAAAAAAGGGAAAAAAUCAAGCAAUCUCCCAACUUACACUACCUUCACUAUUUUUGUAAAGCCCCAAAUCCCUAAAUCCCUGAUAAAAUUAUUUUUGUGUGUUUGUAACAUGAAAUAUGUUUGGCUUAGUGAUUGUGUGCUCUUGGAGUGUCUAGGAAGUCACGAGUUCAAGUAUUAGCUUCCACAAAAAUUUUGCUUUUAAGGAUUAAACCCCUAUCUUAGGUCAGUAGGGUUAUAAGUAAAAGUUGUUAAAACAUGACAAAAUGGGCCUACUGGUCUAGUGGAUAGUGGCAUGUGGAGUGUGCUAGUGGUUUGAGGUUUGAAUUUCUGCUUGUGCAAAUAGAGAUUAUUUUUACUAGUGGUCGUGGGAGGAAGUUGUGUUUGACUAAAACACCAAGAGUUUGAACAGAUUUGAAUGUGGUUGUUGUUAGCCGAACUGAGGAGAUGGAGGGGAGGAAAUUGAGGAGGAAAUCGGGGAAUUUGAAUGGUUUGAAAGUGUUUAUACUGAAAUUGAACUGAUGGCACACAGAGUUUCGAUUUUGGUAGGGGUGUGUUGAGGGGUAGGUGUUAGGUUGUUGACUGAAUAGAGGUAUUCAUUUUGUCAAAAUUUCGGUCAUAGAGUAGCUAGGUGUCAAAUCCUCUCAUUGUUUUUCAGGUUUGCUAACAACUUGUUUUGUGUUCGUUCUUAUUUUUGGUCUCGGGUAGUCCCUCAAAGGUCCCCAAGAGUGCUGCUGAUUUCCCUUUGUUCUUAGCCGAAUACUACUUUCCCCUAUCUUCUUUUUUUCUAUCGAUUCUGUCUUCUCCUCUUUCUCAACUUGGCGGAUUACUUGAGUGGCACUUCUCUUCCCUUUGUUUCGUCUUUUUAUAUUGUGUUGGCCGAACCCUAAUAUCAUUUAUUUUUCUCUUGCCUAAACCGAAUACCCAUUUUCAAUUGUGUUGACUUUUAGGCUUGGGUCUUGGCUGAAUAUUGGUUAGUCUUCUUCUUAGGAAAUUUCGAUUUCUUUUUUUGUAGGCUGAAUGUAUCCUUCUCACUCAUUCUUUAUUCCACCUUAAUGAUUGUCAUUUAACACUGUGGUUCUGCUAAUUGUUUCUAGGGGCUCGAUCUCAAUAGUCAAGGGGUUAGGCCGAUUGUUCUUUCCCAAAAAGUGAUCUUUUCACUCGUGGUAAGUGCUUUAAGUACUUGAUAUAUUUAUGUUGGGUUAUAGAUUCUUAUGAAUCGGUUAACUGUUUCGUGUGAAGGUUAAAGCAUUGGAGAGGAAACGUUGGUUUUGGAACAAAAGGGGUUUUGCGAUUGUUUGAUUAGUAAGUAGCGAUAAAUCAGUUAAAGUAUUUUUAAUACUAUGGUUUUGGAUUAACCAUGAAUAUGGAUUGAUGGUGGGGUUGUUGUUAAUCAUAGGUGCUUUGAUCUCAGAAGCAUCUCGGCUACAAUUUCAUAACAAGUGUGUGUAACACUACCAUUAGAUGUGAAACGGCAAAAGCUGAAAAGCUGAAAAGCCGAAAAGUGGGCUGUCAACACCACACGGGUGGCCACGUAACAAAAUAUGGUCGUGUGGUCGACGAGAUGACCAUGGACAUUUUCAUGGGCCUAAACGAUAUCGGCCCAUUUUGGGUCGAACUGGGCCGUGUAUGCCCAAUAGGCCUGUGGGCCCAACACGGGAAAAUCACACAAAAGUGUGGUAAAUAUUGGGCCAGGCUGUGUAAACCACACGGCUAAGGCCAUUUCUGUGCUAUGUGGGCCAUACGAGCGUGUGGGUCCACAUGGCUGCAAUAUAGGCCGUGGGCCCAUUAUCAUUGAUUGACUGUUAAGGAUGCACAGGUCGUCUAAGAUAACUGUGGACCUACUGUUGGGCUGGUAAGUGUACUUGGACCCUUAUUUUUGUAAAUGACUGAUAUACCCCUAUGUGAUGUAUGAUUGUUUGAGCAUGCUAUUUAUACUGCAUAUACAUUUAUAUUAUGCUGCAUUGCAUGGGGUGGGAUAUAUGAUUUUGGAGAAAUUGUAAUGAAAUGCUAUAAACCUAUUACUGACAGUUCUGCUGCAAAUACUGUUUUAGUGCCGCAACCGGUGCUACUUGGAGUGUAUGGAUGGGUGGGUCGAUUUUAUCCUCAUAUGGUGUGUAGGGUUGGUACGGAGAUGGUGUGUAGAGGCUGGAUUGAGUAGGAUUUUCUGAUUGCAUACUGUACUAUACUGUAAUAGGUUUAGGCCCCACUGAUACUGUUACUAAAAUGGGCUCAAGCCCAGAUUGCUACUGUUACUGAUAUGGGCUAAGGCUCUAACUGAAACUGAAAGGGCUUAGGCCCAAAUUGAGUUUGCUCUGAUUGAUUGCUAUUGUGGGAUUUCACACACUGAGUUUUCGUAAACUCACCCAUCUGUUAACUGUGCUGGAAAUCCCCAAACUUAGGCGGAUCGAUACGACGGAGGACUUAGGGGUGACCACUCGACUUAGUUAACUUUAAAUAUAAUAAUUAAGGUUUAUUUUGGGUUUUACAUUAUGUAAUAAGACCUCUUGGGUUUAAUUUUUGAUUUUGGUAUUUUACUCAAAUUUCUUUGUGAUUUACAACUGCUAGUAGUAAGAAAAACGUGGGUUUUCAAAAAAGUCAAACAUUUUCAAAAACACCACAAAUACGUAACUUAUCUUCAAAGCUUCCGCGAAUAAAAAACCAUUUAUAAAAUUAAUAACGUUUUACUAAAAGCAACCUUUAAAAGUACAGGUCCCAUAUUAUGAAUAAGCAGUAAGACUUUAAAACGACUUUUCAAUCUAUACAAAGAGGCAUGUUAAAAAAGGGGUUUUUAAACGAUGAGUCUUAGAUUUCGAAAAAUACUUCAAUGUGACAUCACCAGAUCCGGUUAUGACGUUUGUGCCGAGUUUAGAAUGUUACAUUUAGUAGUAUCAGAGCCAGAUUGCAAAACUCGACUAUGGAUUUGGGCUUUUGCAAAAAUGUGGAAACUUUAAUAUAAUUGUUUCAAAUAGUUUAAAGUGAUUGAUAUAAUUUGGAAAUAUUUUACUGAAUGAGUGGUACACCGAGUCUCCCCGCCGAUCCUGUAAGUUUUCUGACUGUUUAUAUUGAAAGGGUUAUAUUAAAAUGUUAUUACUGAGACUACUUUAGGUAGUAAAACUAUAGUAAAACUCUUUAGUUAGAGUAAACUACAAACCGAGUAAGACUGCAAAUUGCGAAAACAAACUCUGAGAUAAUAUUGUUCAUAAAAUAUCUGUAAUAAACACUGGAACAAUAAACUGACUAGCAUAAAACUGUAAAUAUAGGCUAAGUGCAUUCGAUAAUGAUCACCAAAGGUACUCGUGAAAGAGGCCGCGGCAAAGGACGUGGAGGUGCUCGGGCUGAGUGUUCGUCAGCUGGACACCAAUAUAAUGAGGAAGCUAAAGAGGCACUAGCUUCAUCUAUGACUGGGACAGGGUCUUAAAAUCGAGUGGCUGGGGACGACGCACUGUCCCAAGUGAUGUUGAGGACUCUGGAAAGGGUUGCUGGGCCUAGUACUAGUACUGUGGGUCGUGGGCCUGUUACGGAAUGAAUCAGGUCUAAUGGGGCUGAGAUAUUCAGGGGUAUUACUAGAGUGGCCCCUAAUGUGGCUGAAUAUUAGAUCGAGGCCACGAAGAAGAUUAUGGAUGACUUCGACUACACCCCCAAACAGAAAUUAAAGGGUGCAGUAUCACUGUUAAGAGAUGAGGCCUAUCACUGGUGGCUUACUGUCAAAGAGGGCACUUAAGCCGAUUAAUUGACCUGAGAGUUUUUUAAGACUACUUUCCAGGCUAAGUAUGUAGUUUCCAGCUAUGUGGAUGCCCGUAGGAGGGAAUUUCUAAAUUUAACUCAGGAAGAUAGGACAGUGGCUAAAUAUGAGGCUGAAAUUUUAUGACUGAGCCGCUAUGUACAUGGGAUGGUGGAAACUGAAUACGAGCGGUGUGUUCAAUUUGAGGAUGGCCUCAAAGAUGGUUUAAGGGUUCUGAUAGCUCCUCAGAAAGAGCGGGAUUUUGCAGCACUAGUUGACAAGGUAAAAAUCACCGAAGAAGUGAAGCGCACUAAGCACCAGAACAGAGAGAAAAGCAGAGGUAAGAGGGAUGCUGAGCCCUCAAAUUCAUUUUAGAGGCCUAAGAAAAAGGCUAGAGCUGAUGGGUCGAUUAGAGUUGGGGCCCCUGCUGCUUCUACUGAAUCGCAGUUUUGUGCUGACUGUGGGAGACGCCAUCAGGGCGAGUGCUGAAAACGGAUUAGGACAUGUUUGAGGUACGGUUAUAUGGAGCACCGUAUCAGAGAUUGUCCAUAGAGGAUCAAUCAGGUGCUAGCUACUGGUUUUGGUUUUAGUAAUACACCUUAGAAGGUUGUUCAGCAGCCACCAAGAGGCCGUGAGCAGGCCAGAAGUGGAAAUGGUAUAGACCGUGGUCAGAGAGCUUCGGGCCGAGGAGCUGGUAAGGCUGAGGCAAGACAGCUAGCUCUAGUGUAUGCUGCUCAUCGUCAAGAGGAGACAGAUGCUCCAAACGUCAUCAUGGGUAUGUUCUUUAUUUAUAAUAUACCAUAUACUACAUUGAUAGAUAUAGUAUCUACUCAUUCCUAUGUUUCCUGUUUGAUUGCUAAAAACCUGGAGGUUACGGUUGAGAGUACUUCAAGCGAGAUUACUAUACUAAGUCUGUUGGGGCUGUCUGUCCUGGUGAAUAAGAUGUUUAGAGAUGUUCCCUUAAAAAUGAAAGGAGUCGUCUUUCUAGCUAAUCUUAUGAAACUGCCUUUCGGAGAAUUCAAUUUAAUAUUGGGGGUAGAUUGGUUGGUCAAAUAUCGAGUGAGUUUGGAUUGUGCCAUAAAAAGGAUGACACUGAGAACUGAGGAGGACAACGAGGUAGUUGUCAUGGGGAAAGUAGAAACUAUUUGUCAAAUGUGAUUUCAAUGUUAAGGGCCGAGAAGUUGGUACGUAAGGGUUGUGAGGCGUUCUUGGCCUAUAUCAGUGUUUCAAAUGUUGGAGACCUUUCGGUAAAGGAUAUAAAAAAAGUUAAGGAUUUUUCGGACGUCUUUCCUAAAGAGCUACCUAGGUUACCUCCAGAACAUGAAGUGGAGUUUGAGAUUGAGCUCCUUCCAGGUACAACUUCAGUGUCCAUCGUCUCUUAUAGAAUGAAACCAAAAGAGCUUGUGGAAUUUAAGGCUCAGAUUCAAGAACUUUUGGACUCUGGGUUCAUCCGACUGAGUGUGUCUCCGUAGGGAGCACCAGUCUUGUUUGUGAAAAAGAAGGAUGGAUUCAUGCGAAUGUGCAUCGAUUAUAGACAACUGAAUAAGCUGACCAUUAAGAACAAGUACCCUCUGCCAAGUAUUGAUGAUAUGUUCGAUCAACUGCGAUGAGCUUCAGUUUUUUCUAAAAGUAAUCUUCGAUCGGAGUGUCAUCAAUUGAGGGUUAAAGAGGCUGAUAUGCUCAAGACAGCGUUUAGGACUCGUUAUGGUCAUUACGAGUUCCUAGUAAUGCCAUUUGGACUGACAAAUGCACCGGCAGCUUUCAUGGAUCUGAUAAAUCGAGUGUUCCAACCCUAUCUAGGUUGAUUUUUUAUAGUAUUUAUCAACGACAUACUGAUGUAUUCGAGGACUGAAGAUGAUCAUGAUGAACAUCUCCGAGUAGUUCUACAAAUUUUAAGGGAGAAAUAACUGUACGCCAAGAUCAGCAAGUGUGAAUUCUGGUUACAUGAGGUAACGUUUCUUGGUCAUGUGGUAUCUACUGAGGGGAUUAGGGUUGAUCCUCGAAAGGUUGAGGCAGUGUUGGACUGGAAGCCGCCUAAGACAGUAUCUAAGAUUCGCAGUUUCCUAGGACUGGCAGGGUAUUAUAGAUGCUUUGUAGAGGGGUUUUCACUGAUUGCCGCGCCUUUAACUAAGCUACUACGUAAGGGUGUACCAUUUAACUAGACUGAUGCGCAGUAAGAGUGCUUUGAGAAGCUCAAGAAAGUACUGACUGAGGGCCCUGCCUUAAUACAGCUAGAGUUUGAAAAGGACUUUACUGUGUACAGUGAUACAUCACAUAUCGGUUUGGGAUGUGUGUUGAUGCAAUGGGGGUAAGGUGGUAGCGUGUGCGUCUCGACAGCUUAAGACUCAUGAGACAAAUUAUCCGAUGCAUGACUUGGAGUUAGCUGAGGUGGUAUUCAUACUGAAAAUCUGGAGGCAUUGCCUGUACGAUGAGAAGUGUUUCAUCUACUCGAAUCACAAAAGCCUUAAGUAUCUCCUCACUCAGAAGAAGUUAAAUCUUAGGCAGCUUAUAUGGAUUUAGCUACUUAAGAAUCACGACUGUAUGAUCGAAUAUCAUUCUGGGAAAGCCAAUGUGGUGGCUGACGCAUUGAGUAGUAGAGCCAUGACUGAUCUGAGGGCAACGUUUGCUUACCUCAGUUUAUUUGAUGACAGUAGUUUGUUGGCAGAACUUCAAGUAAGACCGUUGUGGAUUGAGCAGAUUAAGAAUAAACAGUUGGGGGAUGAGUCAUUGGGUCUUCGGUUCUGUUAGGUUGAAAAUGGUAAUACUCUGAAUUUUGGGCUGAACAGUGAAGGGGUACUCUGUUUCCAAGGCAGAAUUUAUGUACCUAAUGAUAUUAUUUUAAGGCAGUCUAUACUGCGAGAGGCGCAUAAUAGCCCUUAUGCUAUGUACCUAGGUGGAAAUAAAAUGUACAGAGACCGUCGUAAGAUAUAUUGGUAGCCAGGUCUUAAGCGUAAGGUUGCCAACUUUGUGAGGAAAUGUCUGACUUGCCAGCAGGUUAAAGCGAAACAUCAGUUGCCUUCUGGGUUGCUUCAGCCAGUUAAGAUUCCACUGUGGAAGUGAGAAAGAGUAACUAUGGAAUUUUUGAGUGGGUUACCCUUAACGCCUACUAAUAAGGAUUUGGUAUGGGUCUUCGUGGAUCAGUUGACCAAAUCUGCCCAUUUCAUACCGGUUCGUAUUGACUAUUUGUUAUAGAAACUGGCUAAGUUGUAUGUAUCCGAGAUAGUGAGACUGUAUGGGGGUACCAGUUUUCAUAAUAUCUAAUAGAGAUUUUCGCUUCACGUCUCGGUUCGCACUCUUUCAUGUUAGACUAAGUUGGGUGAGUGACGUGUUCUAGGCCCUGAGCUAGUAUCUGAUACUGAUGAUAAAGUCAGAUUAAUUCGGGAUCGACUGAAGGUAGCAUCAGACAGAUAGAAGUCGUAUACAGAUCUGAAACGUAAGAAAAUUGAGUAUUUUGUGGGAGAUUUUGUCUUUCUCAAGGUCUCACCAUUGAAGAAGGUACUAAGAUUUAGGCGUAAGGACAAGUUGAGCCAAGGUUUAUUGAACCUUACCGCGUAGGACCAGUUUCCUACCAGUUAGAGCUACCUCCGGAAUUAGAGCGAAUUCAUGAUGUGUUCCACUUCUCUAUGCUGAGACGCUAUCGAUCUGAUCCUACAUAUGUUGUAUCGGUUGAGGAGAUUGAAGUUAGACCAAAUCUGAUUUUUGAGGAGGAACCAGUUCAAAUAUUGGAUCGAGAUGUAAAAGUAUUGAGAAGGAAGUCUAUUCCAUUGGUUAAGGUUUUAUGGCGUAAUCACAGCUCUGAGGAGGCCACGUGGGAACCUGAGGAGCCGAUGCGACAACAAAAUCCUCACCUAUUCUAAUCAGGUAAAUUUCGAGGCCAAAAUUUUCUUUAAAAAGGGUAGAAUUGUAACACCCCAAAUCCCCAAAUCUCUAAUAAAAUUAUUUUUGUGUAUUUGUGACGUGAAAUUAUGUCUAGCUUAGUGAUUGUGUGCUCUGGGAGUAUUUGGAAAGUCAUGGGUUCAAUCAUUAGCUUCCAUAAAAAUUUUACUUUUAAAGAUUAAACCCCUAUCUUAGGUCAGUAGGGUUAAAAGUAAAAGUUGUUAAAACAUGAUAAAAUGGGCCUACUGGUCUAGUGGAUAGUGGCAUGUGGAGUGUGCUAGUGGUUUAAAGUUCAAACACCUACUUGUGCAAAUAGAGAUUAUUUUUACAAGUGGUCGUGGGAGGAAGUUAUGUUUGACCGAAACACCAAGAGUUUGAGUAGAUUAGAAUAGGGUUUUUGUUAGCCAAAUCUGAGGAGAUGGAGGGGAGGAAAUUGAAGAGGAAAUUGGGGAAUUUGAAUGGUUUGAAAGUGUUUGUGCCAAAAUUGAACUGAUGGCAUACAGAGUUUUGAUUUUGUAGGGGUGUGUUGAGGGAAAGGUGUUAGGUUGUUGACCGAAUAGAGGUUUUCAUUAUUUCAAAAUUUCGAAAAUAGUCUAGUUAGGUGCCGAAUCCUCUCCUUGUUUUUCAAGUCUGCAAACAGCUUAUUUUUUGUUCAUUCUUCUUUUUGGUCUCGAGUAGUCCCUCAAAGGGCCCCAAGAGUGCUACCGAUUUCCCCUUGUUCUUAGCCGAAUACUACUUUCCCCUAUCUACUACUUUUUUGUCUAUUAUGUCUUCUCCUCUUUCUUAACUUGGUCGAUUACUUGAGUGGCACUUCUCUUUCCUUUGUUUCUUCUUUUUCUAUUGUGUGGCUGAACCCUGAUAUCCUUUGUUUUUCUCUUGCUUAAACCGAAUGCCCCUUUUCAAUUGUGUCGACUUUUAGGCUUAGGUCUUAGCUGAAUAUUGGUUAGUCUUCUUCUCAGGAAAUUUCGAUUUCUUUUUCUAUGGUCCUAAUGUAUCAUUCUCACUCAUUCUUUAUUCCACCUUAAUGAUUGUCAUUUAACAAUGUAGUUCUACUGAUUAUUGCUAGGGGCUCGAUCUCAAUAAUCAAUGGGUUAGGCCGAUUAUUCUUUCCCAACAAGUGAUCUUUUCACUCGUGGUAAGUACUUUAAGUACUUGAUAUAUUUAUGUUGGGUUAUAGAUUAUUAUGAAUCGGUGAGCUGUUUCGUGUGAAGGUUAAAGCAUUGGAGAGGAAACAUUGGUUUUGGAAGAAAAGGGGUUUUGCGAUUGUUCGAUUGGUAAGUAGCGAUAAAUCGGUUAAAGUAUUUUUAAUACUAUGGUUUUCGAUUAACCAUGAUAUGGACUUAUGGUGGGGUUGUUGUUAAUUAUAGGUGCUUUGAUCUCGGAAGCGUCUCGGCUACAAUUCCAUAACAAGUGUGUGUAACACUACCAUUAGAUGUGAAACGACAAAAGCUGAAAAGUUGAAAAGUCGGAAAGUGGGCUGUCGACACCACACGGGCGUGUGGUCACCCAUGUGGCAGGCCGUGUGGUCGACGAGAUGGCCAUGGGCGUUUUCAUGGGCCGAAACAAUAUCGACCUAUUUUGGGCCAAAUUGGGCCGUGUAAGCCCAAUGGGCCUGUGGGCCCGAAACGGGAAAAUUGUACAAAAGUGUGGUAAAUAAUGGGGCAAGCUAAAUAAACCACAUGGCUAACGCCAUUUCUGGGCUAUGUAGGACAUACGAAUGUGUGGGCCCACAUGGGCCGCAUAUGGACCGUGGGCCUAUUAUCACCGAUUGACUGUUAAGGUUGCAUGGCUUGCCUAGGAUGACUGUGGACCUAUUGUUGGGCUGGUAAGUGUACCUGGACCCUUAUUUUUUUAAAUGACUGAUAUACUCCUAUGUGAUGUAUGACUGUUUGAGCAUGCCAUUUAUACUGCAUAUACAUUUAUAUUAUGUUGCAUGUGGUGGGAUAUAUGAUUUUGGAGAAAGUGUAUUUAAAGGCUAUAAGACUAUUACUGGCAGUUCUGCUGCAAAUACUGUUUUAGUGUCGCAACCGGUGCUACUUGGAGUGUAGGGAUGGUUGGGUUGAUUUUAUCCCCACAUAGUGUGUAAGGUUGGUACGAAAAUGGUGUGUAGAGGCUGGAUUGGGUAGGAUUUUCUGAUUGCAUACUGUACUGAUACUGUAAUAGGCUUAGGCCCCACUGAUACUGUUACUGAAAUGGGCUCAAGCCAGAUUGCUACUGUUACUGAUAUGGGCUAAGGCCCUAACUGAAGCUGAAAGGGUUUAGGCCCAAAUUGUGUUUGCUCUGAUUGAUUGCUAUUGUGAGAUUUCACACACUGAGUUUUUGUAAACUCACCCAUCUGUUAACUGUGCAAGAAAUCCCCAGACUUAGGCAGAUCAAUGCGACGGAGCACUCAGGGGUGGCCACUCGACUUAGUUAACUUUAAAUAUAAUAAUUAAGGCUUAUUUUGGGUUUUACAUUAAGUAAUAAGGCCUCUCAGGUUUAAUUUUUUAUUUUGGUAUUUUACUCAAAUUUAUUUGUGAUUUACAACUGUCAGUAGUAGGAAAAACAUGAGUUUUCAAAAAAUUCAAACGUUUUGAAAACCAUCACAAAUACGUAACUCGUCUUCAAAGCUUUUGCGAAUAACAAACCGCUUGUAAAAUUAAUAACGUUUUACUAAAAGGAACCUUUAAAAGUACAAGUCCCACAUUAUGAAUAAGCAGUAAGACUUUAAAACGACUUUUCAAUCUAUACAAAGAGGCAUGUUAAAGAAGGGGUUUUUAAAUAAUGAGCCUUAGAUUUCGAAAAACACUUCAAUGUGACAUCGCCAAAUCUGGUCAUGACGUCUGGGCCGGGUUUAGGGUAUUACAAUUGUCAUCAAAACUUAUUACUAACAUUACUAUCCAUCAACCUUGUCUAGUUGAACAUUGGGAUGGAGUGUAUUCAACUGUUAAUGCCAUAGACAAUCCAGAGGCAAGGGAAUUUUGCACAAGGUUUUACAUGUGAAUUUUGAAGUUAUUUGCAUGAAUGGGUAACAAAAUCUUUCUAACAUUUAAAAGAAAUGUAGAAAAUAGUAAACAUGUAAUCUCUAAAUAAUACGAAGAAGGGAAAAAAUGAUAUGUAGUGAGCUAGCAAAGAGAAGAGCAAUGUGCUUACAUUGAAGUAAACGGUGCUGCGAAAUCUCCCUUUGCAAGAUUUCUUUGCGUGUUUAAGUUGGGAGAAGAUGAGCUCAUCUUGAGAGCAAAUAACUAUAUUACCAAGGGAUGUCAAAUACAGACUUCUCCUUACCGGAGGAGACCACAAAUAGCUCUGCUAGUAAUCGAAAUCGUAUUGUGAUGCCUUACGAGGAAUAAUAGAAAUAAUAUAAUAGAACCUAGGUAACCUGUAACACCCUUUACCCAUAUCCGACACCAGAACAGGGUACGAGGCAUUACCGGACUUAAUCAUUCACAAAAAUACAAAAACCAGGCUACAAAAUUUCUUUUAAUUCAAAAAUUUUCAUACACAUGCAUAAUGUCCCAUACAGGGGCCUACGAAGCCCUAAACAUGCAUUAAAAGUAGUUAGGGACUAAACCGAUAACCUUAAAAAGUUUUGGAAAAACUUUGAAAAUUUCUUUCCAUGAAACAGGAUCACACGCCCGUGUGGACAUAGGGACACGCCCGUGUCCUCAGGCCAUGUAAUUCUCUGUUUAUGAUGUCAGCAUGCAAAUUGAACCACACGGCCGGGCUACACGCCCGUGUCUCCUGGCCGUGUCCCUCACACGGUUGAGACACACAACCGUGUUUCAGCCCGUGUAGUCAACACUUAGGCUAUUUUUCAAGCCUUCAUGUUACCCAUAAACCCUUACAACCUUAUACAUAUUAAAACCACGAAUCAUGACAUCAUUUUAGUGAUUAACAACUCUUUAUUAAAACAUAUCCAUAAUAUUAACAUGUCCUCUUACAUGUAAUGCAUCUACUCAUGCAAUACCAAGUCUAGAUUCCUUAAUUCACAUUCAUAAGACUUGUCAUUUUGAUGAUCACUUUUAUCAUUAUACUAUGGUUACCAACUUAUCCAUCAAGCACUCAUGUUCAACCAUUAUCACGUUGUUUUUAUAAAGUGCAAUUACUACAUCGCUAUGGCCACCUCGAUUGGUCAUAGAGCAUACAUCCAACACACAUGUCAUAUUGCCAACCAUGCAUGGCAAACAAAUAUAAUCACAACAUAAACAUUAGACAUGACAAGAAUAGUUAGGUUUACAAGCCAUAAUCAAUAUGAGCCACAUUUCAUGGCCAUAUACAUAUAACUCAAUAUAAGCCAAUACAUUUGGCCAAAGCAUAAUAACACAUGUCAAUAAACUAGAUCCCUAUACACGCCACUGACUUGAAAUUUUUAUUAUAUGUUUCAUUAUUCCAAAGGUAGUGACUUGAUAGUGUGAUGCUACCUCUGACGAUCUCCAACCCCGAGCUAACCUGACAAGCUAAAAGAAAUGGAAAGGCAAGAGUAAGCUUCACGCUUAGUAAGUCCAUAUGAAAAUAAUAAGCAAUUUAUCAAUAUACUUCCACCAAGUCUUACAACAUGAUCUCAAGGUAAUACUAUUAUAAUGGUCUUUUUUUCCUAUGUUCAGGUCAAGCUGUUUUCUCGAGUCACAGUCACUAAAUUAUUUAUAUCUGGAGUUACAGAACUCCAAAUUUAGAUAUGCUAAUUUUUCUAGAAACUAGGCUCAUAUAUAUUCUUACCAUAAAAUUUUAAUAAUUUUUGGUUUAUCCAAUUAGUACAUUUUAUUCUUCAAAGUCACCCUUGUUCUACUGUUUGACAGCUUCAACAUUUCUUUACUAAAAAUUAAUUAUCUCCUCACACGAGAUUCGAAUGAUAUUCCCAUUUGUUUUUUUAAAAUAGAUUCAUUAAGGAUUUUAAUAAUAUAAAUUUUAACUCAAAAUCAUUUUUGUACAAUUUUUAAUUAUUUUCCAAAAUUAGGACAGGGGAUUUCGAAAUCAUCCUGACUCUAUCUCACAACAAUUUAAGUAUUUCAUAAUAUGAAACUAUUUUGCUUACACCGUUUCUUCUAUGUGAAGCUAGACUCAUUAAGCUUUAAUUUAAUAUUUUAUUAAGCCUCUAACUCAAUUUCCACAAUUCUUGGUGGAUUUCCAAAGUCGGACUACGGCUUCUGUUCAAAACUGUUUUAGUGUAAAUUAAUGAUACUAAGUUUAUCACACCUUAUUAAUUCAUUUUCACCAUAUUGGUAAAGAUACAUAUUUAUACAUCAUAAGUAUAAACUUAUAAUCACAAGUUCAUCACAAAUAAUUCUCAUAAGCAUGAAUUACCCAUUUACAUCUUCCCCAAAUAUGCAUCAUAAACCGAAAUCAUUUCUCAUGAGCUUGGCAUACAUACUUGUGUUACUCAACAUGCUCAUAUUCAUUCCUUACAAAUCAUACAAGAUGAAUUGAAUUCACACCUCAUCAAUUUCAUGUAAGUACCUGUACCACUCACAACAUAGCCAUAAGCUCUAUCAUUUCGACUUAAACCUUAAAUUUCCUGUUGAACCAUUUGGAAUACCACAUGAUAAUCACUAAGCUUCAAACAUAGGGUACGAUGCCGAUGCCAUGUUCCAAGCAUGGUCUUACACUGGCUCACACAUGUAAGUUGAUGCCAUGUCCCAAACAGGUCUUACACUGACUUUCAUAUAUCGAGGCUGAUGUCAUAUCCCAGACGGGUCUUACACUGGCUCUCAUCUAUCGGUGUCGAUGCCAUGUCCCAGACAGGUCUUACACUGACUUCCAUAUAUUGAGGCUGAUGUUAUGUCCCAGAUAGGUUUUACACUGUCUUGCAUAUCUCGAGGCUGAUGCAUGUCCCAGACAUGCCUUACACUGGCUCUUAUAAUAUGGCCGAUGCAUGUCCCAAACAUGUCUUACACUAGCACACAUAUCACCCAAAUGUUAUGGCAUGAUUAUCCAGUCUAUUCCUAAGGUUCAACAGGGAGUUUAUUAUGAGAAGUCUCAUCAUACCAUUACUUAUAGAUGCAUUCAAGCCUUAUAUACGAAAUCAAACAUUCAAUGCAUAAUAACGAUAAAGUUGUAAUAUUUACGCACAACUUACUUGUUUCAAUGGAAUGUCAUAUUCCAUCAAAUUUCUAAUGUAUUCAAUCAUCACAAAAAUGUUAUUAACAUUUGGCAUCACUUUAUCAUACAUAACCCCAUCAAUAUAUAAUUAAAUACAAUCAUAUAAAAAUAGAUUUCAAGUAUAUUAACAAUAACAUGGAUAGCAUAUUUAUUUAGUUACGCGGACUUACCUCGAAUGCAAUUCCGGCUAAUUACUCCAUUUUAGUCCAUAACCUUGUACUUUCCGAUUUAAGCUCAAAUCUCGAUUUUCUUGAUCUCACAUGAUGAAAUUCACUCACUUAAUCAUUACAUUAAUUAAAACAUUCUAUAAUUCACAAUUUGGCAAAAUGAUCGUUUUGCCCUUACACUUUACAAAAAUUACGAUUUUUCCCUUUGGCUCAUAAAUCGAUUUUUAUCUAAUUUCCUCCUUUAUCAAGCCUAUCUAAAUUCUUUUUAUUACUAUAGCAACUCACAAUUUCAAUUAUUUCACACAUUUACAACUUAUUUUACAACUUUACAAAAUAGCCAUUUUUAGGUGUUUUCAUGCAAACUUCUUCCACAAAAGUUGUUUAUUACACAACCAUGACUCAUUUUCUUCCAUAAAAAUUCAGUAAACAAUAUGAAUAGUCACAUGACAAAACCCUAGACAUUCAACCAUUUUGCAAAAUAGUCCCAUCAUUAGCUAGAUUAAGCUAUAAGGGUUCCAAAAACACAAAAAUUAACAAAAAUAACCAUCAAAGUCACUUACUUGCAAGGGUGAAGAGUGGCUGAAAUUUUUAAGCUUAUAAAACCCCAAGUUUGCUGAUAUUUUUGGUGGUGAAGAAGAUGACCACUUAGUCUUCUUUUUCUUAUUUUAUUUUUAGUAAAAUUAAGUCACCAACUCACCUAACUUUGUCAAUUUUGUCAAUUCUUGUCCCCUAUGGCCGACCAAGCACCUAUUAAAGGUCUAUUUGCACAUUAAAUACCCUCAAUUAUAGUUCUCUAGGAAUUUGGUAUAUCUAUCUAGUAAAAUAAAACAUUUUCCCUUUAUGAGAUUUAGUCUUUUUUCGAAAUUAAGCUCCCAAACGCUAAAAUUAAUUCAUCAAAUUUUUCAUGCUCUUAUGAAAACAUGUUAUAAUACAAAAAUAAUAAUAAAAAUAAUUUCUCUGACCUCGGAACAGUGGUUUUGGAACCACUGUUCCGACUAGGCCUAAAAUCGGGCUGUUACAUAACCGACAGCACCCAAAUUAAAAAAAAACAUUUGAACUAAUAUAAUUGAUACAUGAUAUUCAUGACAGGUUUUAAAUAUUUAUAAUGAAUCGUUCUUGAAACUAACUAUUAUCACGAUAAAGGCAAGUGUACUUAUCGAACAGUAGUAUAGCUUUAGCAAGACCGGAUUAUCGAACCCAAAGGAACUAAAAGAACUAGUAUUAACUUUCUUUUUAUUAUCUAGCCUAAAAAAAAUAAAAGGGUUUUCUUUAUCUAACUAAUUAACUAAAUUAAGAAAUCACAGAAAAUAGAAUUGGGGAAUUACUUUUUGGAAAAACGAUUGAAUUAAGACAAUACCUAAGGAAAAAUCCACCUAGACUUCACUUGUUAUUUGACUCUAAAUCGGACGAUUUAUUCAUUUGACUUGAUCCAUAGAAAUCUAUAAAUUAUAUUAUUAUUCCUCUUGAGACUAACAACGUCUAACCCUAGGUUGAAAAAUCGAAAUCUCUUUCUAAUUAACUCCCUAGGGUUGCAUUAACUCGAUCUAUGAAUCCCCUUAUUAGGUUUCACCCUAAUCCGGUAAAAUCUUGUCACCCUAUCUCUAGGCGCGCAACCAACUCCACUUAAUUAUGACAAAUUUACUCUUAGAAAGGCUCUAUUCCUCCUCUGAAUAAGAGCUUAACUUGAAUCAAUAUCCUGGAAUAUCAAAACAAGAAGUAAGAACAUAUAAUUAAGAACAAGUCAAAUAUUUAUCAUACAAUUCAGGUAAUAAUAACAAGAUCCGUCUUAGGUUUCAUGCCCCUUAGGUAUUUAGGGGUUUUAGUUCAUAACUAAAAAGGUAAACAUCUCAGAAGAAUAAUGAAUACAAAACAUAAAGAAAAACCCAAAACUCCUGAAGGGAAAUUGAGGGGAGAUAUCUUGAUGACGAAUCCGGCUUCUAAGAUGGAUCAAUCGGCUUUCCUUGAGCAGUUCCUUGCUUCUUUCUCAUUGACUCUUUUUCCUCCUCCUCUAGGGUGUAUUUAUAGGCUUUAGAAUGCCUAAGAACCCUCAAAAUUGGCCUUUUCCGAAUUGGACUCAAUUUCAGCUCAACAGGGACAUGCCGUGUGCCACACCAGUGUGCGAUUACUUCAGGCCGUGGUCAAGCCUGUUAAAUAAGCAUGGGCGUGUGGUCCACCCGUGUAAGUCGUGCUUCGAUUCUGCCAAAUUGACACGACCGUGUGGUUUGUCCGUAUGAGGAGGUCCAGGCCGUGUUAAUUUCGUCCGUUGGCCCAUUUUCUCCGUUUUUGGCCCGUUUCUCGUUCCUUUCACUCUCCUAUGCUCACCUAAGUAUAAAACAUGAAAUUAAGGCAUUAAGAGCAUCGAAUUCACCAAGUUUAAGGAAAAAUCAUCCAUAAAAAUGUGCUAAGCAUGGGAUAGAAAUAUGUAUAAAUUACGGUUUAUCAAAUACCCCCACACUUAAGCAUUUGCUUGUCCUCAAGCAAAACCCUCAACUCAUAAUCAAAAAAAUUCUUCUCAACUUAUAAUUUCUAUCGAUAAUAUCUCAAAAUAAUCCAUAGGUAAUCAUACAUUGAAAAUUCAACUGAAAGAACAUCAAAGUUUCAAACAUUCAAAGUUGAGCAUUUUAUCAUGAAAACAUAGGUGUCUCCCCUCGUCUAAGUAAUUACCUUUGAUUCAAAAUAUCACAAAGUUUCACAUCCUCACUAAAGAUUCACUCAAAUCACUCGAGGUGUUUAAGGACAAUAAAUAAAGCACUCAAUAGUCAAUAAUGAAGAGUCAUUACCAUAGGCUUGCAUGAAAAUCAAAUCUCCACCACUAUAAAAUGAGAUGAAACAUCAAUCAAAAGGUCUUUAGAGGGUUGUAACGUGGCUUUGGUUAGAGGGUGUGGUCAUAAACUGAAAGAAAGGGUUAGAAUCGAGAUUGAAUUGAAAAAUUGCCUAACUAGAAAAAUGUCUAGUCAUCAAUUGCGUACAAUAGAGCUUUUUUCUCAGAAUAUGGAAUUUAACUUCUUUAGCUCAGAAGAUCACUACUACUAAUAUGUAUACAUGUAUUUUUUUUUAAGAAUAAGUCAAAUUUCAAAAUAGAAUAAAAAAUAGCUAAGCAACUAUUCCAACUCAAGUCUCGACAAAAAUAGGGAUCAAAUUAAUUUAGGGAAUUUCAACAAUAAUAAGUUAUCGGUUAAUAUUGAGGGUAAAUCAAUGAAUGGGUUGUUAGGCUCAAGGGGGUUCACUAAGGGUUAAUUGUGAAGGUAGGCUUUUAUGGAGUGAGUGGGUUAAACCUAAAUGCCUUUAUUAUUUUGACAUAUCAAAUCAAAUGGUGUGGUCUUGACAUGCAUAAUCAAGCAAGUUCUAGAAUAACAAUUCAAUACUAACGCACUCAUAAUGAAAGUAAGCAUGAAAGAAAUAAUAGAUGCUCUAAAGGCUCAAUAUCUCACAAAAAGUAUGGCUUUUUGAUGUUUAAACUUGUGAAUUCCAACUCAAAAUAAUAUUAAACUUGGGGAAACAACCUAAAAGUUUUUAAUUCUUCAAAAAUGAACUUAUCAUGCUUGAUUCCCUAAUGUCUUAAAGUUUAUACAAUCAAUGCAUAAAUGCCUAUGUUUUGAUUCAAGACAUAUCAAUAAAAAUCAUAAAUUAAUUAAAAUUCAUUCUAAUAGUGAUAUGAGUGAUUCACGUGAGAAAAAGACAAAAUUUAGGGAUUUCUAAUGAUGAUAUAAAAGACCCCCUACACUCAAUAUGUACAUUGCCCUCAAUGUACAUUGCCCUCGAAGUGGAGUUUUGGAGAGUAAUCGGCGUGAAAGUGGAGGAGGAUACUUCAGAGGUGUUAGAGGUUCAUUAGUCCAUAAGUCCUGCGCCGAAAGAAUAUUAUAUCUGGUGGUAGCUAUGGUCGUGGUCGAGCAGGACAUGGUAGUCGUGGAGAACCUUUCACAGUGGAGUUUCAAGUUCCUGAGUAAUACUGAGCUUUGGAGCUCUUUCUGACUAUGAUAAAAUCAGGAACUCUUUAAGAGGUAUACUGAAGCAUAAUUACUCGUAAUGAAAUAGGCGAAGAAUAAAAAUUGUAAAAGCUCAGGAUAAAAUAGUAUUAAAAGGAAAUAAAAAUAAUUUCAAAAAAUAAAAUAAAAUAAAUAAAGGUGUUUAUAGAGAAAUUGGGGCUCACGGUCGUGGGGCACGCCCGUGUGCUCUAAGAUUAGCCCGUGCGUUCUGUAAUUUUUGAAAUAGGCGCAUUAGUGUACACGGCCAUGUUGCACGGCCGUGUCGAUCUCCGUUUUCUUCUCUCACGCCCGUGUAUGAAGGCGCAUGCCCGUGUUAAAUUGGCAGGUUUACCCACAGUUUCAAAACAUGGGCGUGUUAUUUUGGCAGUUUCGCCUACGGCCAUGUCGCACGGCCGUGGCUACUUAUCGCAUCCCGUGUUGGGGAAGAAAUUUUUGUCCUAUUUUCACACGGCCGUAUCGCACGGCUGUGUUGCAUCCCGUGGUGUGUACACGGCCUACAACACGCCCGUGUGCCUAGCUCUGUGGUUCUGAAAAGCCUGUGUUCAAUGAUUUGGUUAGUAUGUUAGAUUUUUAAAACUAAAAUUUAAAGAAAGUAAUAUUGUUAGUGCUCGGGUUGUGUCCCGAGAAGCUCUUAUUUAUAGUAUAAGCUCGACUUUUCUCUCCAUUGAAUGGUCAUGGUGGUUUGAGGAGUUUAUACUCCUUAUCCCUGCUAUGAGUCUCAUCAAAAUAAGGUUUUAGGUGGAUAUUGUUUACCUGAAAAGUGCCGAAUUUGGGAUGAUUUACCUCGACUAUACCAAAUGGGAAAAUGCUAAGUACCGUAAGAGAGAUUUCUUCAUUCGGUUUGGCAGUGUCAAUGUGAGGAUCUGCGGUAUCUAAUGAAACUUUAUCUCCAACCUUAAGUUGAUUUGGUGAGGCAUUGAGCUCGUUCUGGCAUAGUUUUGGUUCAUUAUGUUUCCUCGGUUUACAUGUAAGCCAUUCAUCUAACUCCUCGAUUUGUAACAUUCGUUCUUCAUGUAUAGAUCCUUUGUUAUGGAAUGAACAUGGCUCAUGUGUGUCCUUCGAACUUAUUUCCUGCAAAAUAGGUUGCACCGCAUGAUCAGUCUUAGUAGAACAAUUUGUACAAUCACCUUCAAUUUUCGAUGCGUUGUUCGGGUUGCGAUCUUGAAGGUUGAUUGUUUCAUCUCCUACACGAAGUGUGAGUUCACCUGUGCCAACGUCAAUAAUUGUUCUAGCAGUUGCUAAAAAGGGCAUUCCCAAAAUUAAAGGAACAUUACUGUCCUCUUCUAUGUCUAAAACAACAAAAUCAACUGGGAAUAUAAAUUUGUCAAUUUUAACGAGUACGUCUUCUAUGAUACCCCUAGGAAAUCUGACAGUUUUAUCUGCUAAUUGAAUGCUUAUCCUAGUUUGUUUGGGUUUCCCUAACCUAGUUGUUUAAACAAUUUGUAAGGCAUAGCACUAAUACUAGCCCCCAAAUCAGCCAACGCAUUAUUUACAUCUAAACUACCAAUUAAACAAGGAAUCAUAAAACUCCUUGGAUCUUUUAGUUUGUUGGGUAGCUUAUUCUGAAGAAUGACUAAGCAAACCACGUUCAGCUCCACAUGCGACCUUUCAUCUAACUUUCAUUUAUUUGCUGGAAACUCCUUUAAAAAUUUGACUGCGUUUGGCAUCUACAAAAGUGCUUCAAUAAAUUGUAGGUUAAUAUGUAGUUUCUUUAAGAGUUUAAGAAAUUUACCAAAUUGUUCAUCUGAAUGGUCUUUCAUUGUCACAUUGGGGUAUGGCACACGAGGUUUAUAUUCUGUACUUACCGAUUUUUGUUCGUUUUGGCCUACCUCAUUCUUACCUUCACUUACCACCGGUUUUGGCCUUAGUUUGCCACAAAUCUUUCCUCAUCUUUAAUGGAAAUUGCGUUGAGUUGCCUUGGGUUAGAUUCAGUGUUGCUUGGCAGGCUACCUUGUGGGUCGUUCGGAAAUCAACUUGACGAGCUGUCCAAUCUGAGUUUUGAGCCCUUGGAUCGAUGCUUGUUGAUUUUUGAGUGCCGUCUUUAUAUUUUGAAAACAAGUCUCUGACACCGAGAUGAAUUUGGUUAGCAUCUCCUCAAAGUUCGGCUUUUUCUCCUACUGGUAUGGUGGUUGCUGAAAGCUUGGAGGGGGGUGGUUUCUGAUUUCCUUGGCCUCCCCAUGAAAAAUUUGGAUGAUUCCUCCAACCUGCAUUGUAAGUAUUGCUAUAAGAAUUAUUUUGAGAUCGAGGAUUGUUACCCAUGUAAUUUAACUGCUCGUUGUCCAUGUUGUGGCCAUAAGGUGGGCAUUCUGAAUUACUCAAUUCACCUUUAUUUGCUUCGCACUGCAUUGCUGGGCGAACCUAUAAAGGACUAAAAAAACCAUCAAUUUUCUUAUUCAAGAGUUCUACCUGAUUGGAGAGCAUGGUGACCGAAUCGACGUUAUAAACACCGGUUAUUUUCGUUGGCUUUGUCCUCAUGACUUGCCACUGAUAGUUAUUCAGUGACAUCUCCUUUAUAAAUUCAUAGGCAUCUUCAAGUGUUUUAUUAUUGAUGGUUCCUCUAGCGGCUGCAUUAAUCAUCUGUCGAGUCGAAGGAUUCAGGCCAUUAUGGAACGUUUGAACCUGUAGCCAAAGCGGUAACCCAUGGUGAGGGCAUCUUCUUAAAAGGUCCUUGUAUCUCUCCCAUGCAUCGUAAAGUGUUUCUAAAUCUAUCUGCACAAAAGAAGAGAUACCAUUACGUAGUUCGGCUAUUUUAGCCAGUGGAAAAUAUUUUAGUAAAAAAAUUUCAUUCAUUUGUUCCCAAGUAGUGAUUGACCCUCGUGAUAACGAGUUCAACCAUUGUUUAGCCUUAUUCCUUAACGAAAAGGGAAACAACCAAAGGCGAAUAACGUUAUCAGAAAUGCCAUUAAUUUUAAAGGUAUCACAAAAUUCCAGGAAAUUUGCCAAGUGAGCGUUGGGAUCCUCGUCCUGCAAACCAUCAAACUGAAUAAACGAUUGUAUCAUUUGAAUUGUGUUAGGUUUCAGUUCAAAAUUAUUUGCAGCAAUAGCAGGUCUAACUAUACUUGACUGAGUUCCUAUUAAAUUAGGAUUAUCAUAAUCAUACAUAGUGCGCGGAGCAGGAUUUUGAUUAACAGCAAUUGCAGGAGGUAGUGGAUUUUCUUGGUUUUCAGCCAUCUCCUCGAUUGUGGUUUGAAUAUCGUCCUCUUGCUCAUUCUCUGUGUAUCUUAAACUUCACCUUAUUUCUCUUUGGUUUCUGCGAACUGUGCGAUCGAUCUCACUGUCAAAAAGUAAUGGUCCUGACGGGUUUCUUCUAGUCAUAAACUAUAAGAACUUGCCAGAAAAAGGGAAAAAACGAAUUAGGAAUAAAAAUUAGAGUAAAAUUUAAAUUGCAGAAAAAGUAAAUGGCUAAAGUAAUAAAAAUCGAGUUUUCCUUAUAUCUUAGUUCCCUGGAAACGGCGCCAAAAACUUGAUACGUGAUAUUCAUGACAGGUUUUAAAUAUUUAUAAUGAAUCGUUCUUAAAACUAACUAUUAUCACAAUAAAGGCAAGUGUACCUAUCGAACAGUAGUAUAGCUUUAGCAAGACCGGAUUAUCGAACCCAAAGGAACUAAAAGAACUAGUAUUAACUUUCUUUUUACUAUCUAGCCUCAAAAAAUAAAAGGGUUUUCUUUAUCUAACUAAUUAACUAAACUAAGAAAUCACAGAAAAUAGAAUUGGGGAAUCACUUUUUGGAAAAAUGAUUGAAUUAAGACAAUACCUAAGGAAAAAUCCACCUAGACUUCACUUGUUAUUUGACUUUGAAUCGGACGAUUUAUUCAUUUGACUUGAUCCAUAGAAAUCCCUAAGUCAUAUUAUUAUCCCUCUCGAGACUAACAACAUCUAACCUUAGGUUGAAUAAUUGAAAUCUCUUUCUAAUUAACUCCCUAGGGUUGCAUUAACUUGAUCUAUGGAUCCUCUUAUUAGGUUUCAUCCUAAUUCGGUAAAAUCUUGUCACCUUAUCUUUAGGCGCGCAACCAGCUCCGCUUAAUUAUGACAAAUUUACUCUUAGACAAGGUUUAUUCCUCCUCUAAAUAAGAGCUUAACUUGAAUCAAUAUCCUGGAAUAUCAAAACAAGAAUUAAGAACACAUAAUUAAGAAUAAGUCAAAUAUUUAUCAUACAAUUCAGAUAAUAAUAACAAGAUCCGUCUUAGGUUUCAUCCCCCUUAGGUAUUUAGGGGUUUUAGUUCAUAACUAAAAAGGUAAACAUCUUAGAAGAAUAAUGAAUACAAAACAUAAAGAAAAACCCAAAACUCCUGAAGGGAAAUUGAGGGGAGAUAUUCAGUCUUAAUGAUGAAUCCGGCUUCUGAGAUGGAUCAAUCGACUUUCCUUGAGCAGUUCCCUGCUUCCUUCUCCAUGGCUCUUUUUCCUCCUCCUCUAGGGUGUAUUUAUAGGCUUUAGAAUGCCUAAGAACCCUCAAAAUUGGCCUUUUCCGAAUUGGACUCAAUUUCAGCUCAACAGGGACAUGCCCGUGUGAUACGCCCAUGUGCGAUUACUUUAGGCUGUGGUCAAACUUGUUAAAUAGGCACAGGCGUGUAGUCCACCUGUGUGAGUCGUGUUUCGAUUCUUCCAAAUUGACACGACCUUGUGGUCUGUCCGUGUGAGGAGGCUGUGUUAAUUUCGUACGUUGGCCCAUUUUCUCUAUUUUUGGCCCGUUUCUCAUUCCUUUCACUCUCUUAUGCUCACCUAAGUAUUAAACAUGAAAUUAAGGCAUUAAGAGCAUCGAAUUCACCAAUUUUAAGGAAAAAUCAUCCAUAAAAAUGUGCUAAUCAUGGGAUAGAAAUAUGUAUAAAUUACAGUUUAUCAUGCCGCCUAAUUAGCUCGAGGAUCAUCGGACAUUGGAGGCAUCAAUCACACCAUCAUCCGAAGCACUUGGUAUAGUUAGAUCUUUUAUUUUGAUCAUAGCAUGUAUAGGACCUUGACUUUUGAGUUUUGUGUCAUUGUUAAUUAAUUGGCCAAAUGUAUUGGCUUAAUCUAAUAUUUGUUUCAUUUUGUAUAAGGCCAUGGAAAAUGGCUAAUAUUGAAACUUAUUAUGUGAAUGCAAACUAGCCUUUCAUGAAUGUGAAUUGUUGGCAUGGUUGAAUACAUGUAAUGUAUAUAGGUCUUAACUAUGGUUGUUUGGUUGAUGUUAGAAUCUGUUUCAGGGUGGCAAAAGCUUGUUAGAUAGCCUUAUAUUGUCCACACGGGUGUGUGUUUAGGACGUGGGUGACACACGGUCAGCCCCAUUGGCGUGUUAUCCGACCAUGUGUCCUGUGCACGUAAAAUUUGCAAGUCAAUAUGCAUGGUAGUAAAUACACGGGCAAAGACACGACCGUGUGUCUCAGCCAUAUGGAGGACACGGCCUCUGGCCACGGGUGUGUGCCUUGGCCAUGUGCCAUAAAUUGGAUGCUGACGUCAGAAACAGAAUGUCAAGAAUUUUAGACACAGGCUAAGACACGAGCGUGUCAUGACCGUGUGAGGGACACGAGCAAUGGACGCGGGCGUGUGUCAGACCGUGUGAAAACCCCUGGAGGUUCAAAUUUAGAAUUUAAUUUGCAUAGGCAUGGAACAUGGGCGUGUCCCUAGAUGCUUAGGCUAUGUGUGUUACACGGGCCAUCAGUACGACCAUGUUAUAAUGACCACAUGGGCGUGUUGCCCUUCCACACAGGUGUGAGCCCUGUUUCAAGAGUCAAUUUUAUUAAAUCGGUUUAAGGACUGGAGUUGGUUCUGAAUGGUUUCCAAUGAAAGUUUGAGGUCUCGUAGGCCUACAUUAAGGAAUUUAAACAAAGUUCGAAAAAAUUUUAAAUUUGAUCAAGUCUUGGUGACUAAGAAAUGUUUGAAUGCAUGUGUUUAAGUUUAGUAACGCCUCGUAUUCCGUCCCGGCGUAGGGCAUGGGUGUAGGGUGUUAUAGUCAUAUACUCAAAAAACUUUAAAAUUAUUUGAAAUAAUAGUAUUUUAAUUUUUUUCAUUUUUAACAAAUAUUUUUCUAUGUUUUUAAUUUCAAAUCUUUUCAACGUGUCAUUAUUUUUUCUGAAGAAUUUAAAUAUUCAAUUAAAAAAUUGUAUUUUAAUUAAUAUAAAUAAACCAGUUAAAUAAUAAAUAAACAGAUAAAAUGUUUUUGCGGCGUUUUUAAAAAAGCGCCGCUAAAGCUUGAUCUAUAGCGGCGUUUUUCAAAAAGUGCCGCUAAUGGUCGACCUAUAGCAGUGUUUUUAAAAAAACUAAAAAGCGCCGCUAAUGCUCGAUUUAUAGCAUUGUUUUUCAACAAACGCCGCUAAUGCUCGAUCUAUAGCAUUGUUUUUCAAAAAGCGCGCUAAUGCUCUAUCUAUAACGGCGUUUUUUUAUCCAAACGUCACUAAAAAUGCUACUAAAAAACCGUUUUGCUGUAGUGCACAUUUACCACAUAACCAUCAACUAAAAAUGACCAUUUGCACAACAAGGUGUGUGCCCUUGUACACAUGCCACAAUAUUUAGAUUCAAAAUGGACAUAAUUCUACCAUUUCAUUGAUAGUGUGUGCUUCAUGUUGAUCCGGCUCAACAAUGUUCCCCAAGGUGAUAAGCUACAAGUAGGAAAGAAAUAGAGUAAGCAUAUAAAUGCUUAGUAAGUUCAAAUGGAAAAUGCUAUGUUUACCUUGUUUAUGUACAAGCAUGUUAGAUACCUUAAUUUCGCAUAAGUUUGGCUAGGACAUGGCACUUAAAAAUAUCAACAAGUGAGCAUAAGUAUCCAUGUUCAUUAGACAAUAUAAGUAGCUCAAAAGAUACCACCAAUUCAUAUCACAAUCACAUAGCUUAUCUCAAAGACAUAUUCUAUCAUCAAUCCUUAAGAACAUAUCUAUUCGAAAAGGGUCAUUUUCAAUGUUACAAUCCAUUAUUAAUAUAUAAGUUAUAUCAAACAUACACAUAGUUCAAUUCAAUGGCAUGUUCCAUUAUUAAUCUUUAGGAUUAUGCUCAAUACACAUGAAUCAAUUCAAUAGCAUAUCAAAUUGGCUAUGAAUCUAUUUAUGAGUUUCAAAUUUCAUUUAUAUUGUUUUUCCUAUUGGAACCCUAGUAAAACGGAAUCAGAUACACGGGUAAACUACACCACACUAGUUGUUCGUCUGGGUUGAAUAUAUUUGAGGUUACUCAUCCGAGAUAAACCUAUAUCAUGACACAUCAGGUUACUCGUCUAAGCUAAACUUGUGUCACAUAAUACUCGAGAAUCAAUAAUGAAUAUUAGAUUUCGUCAAAGUCUGUAAUAAUCCUCGUUCAAGCGUGCAUAAGACCCUAUUGCAUGCCAAUUGUAUCUUAACCUUUUACUAAGUUCACACACAGGCAUCAUUUACAUAUAUAACAUUACCAAUCAUUGUAAACAAUUGUUUUCACUUCAUUAUCCCUUACAAUUAUCCAUAUUUCAUAUCGUACACUGUACAUGAUCACCUGUUUCAUUUACAUCUAUUGUAAUCAACCAGACUUUUGCAUUUGUACCCAAUAUUGUUACAUUAGUCAAUUAUCACAUAACAUUUCAAUUCAGUCUGUUACAAGCCAUACAUGCCAAUUUCACUAGUGUUCCAAUUAUAUUCACACAUAUAUAUAUAAUCAAACACAAAAUUACACAUAAAAUAAACUAAGUAAGUUCCAUAUGAACUUACUUGUUCAAAUUGUGAAAUAAGUGGAUAAUUUAGGGACUAAUCUGUAAUUUUAGCAUUUCCUCUAUUAGCUCCAUUUUGAUUCAAAUCUUGAUCUAUACCAUUGUUUCAUAUAACCAAUCAAUACCAAAAAUUUUCAUACUAUGCCAUGAUAUGCAUGAUCCUAUAUGAUUUCAUUUUUCAAUUUUUCCCAUAUGUUACAUUUUUUAAUUUAGUCCCUGAACUCGGGAUAAACAUAACUUUCGAUUCCUAUCUUCGGAUUAAAAUCUAAUUUCAUAUAUUAUCAUUAAAGACCUUAUACUUACUAUUACUAACCUAAUUUAUUGACAAGUUUUACAUUUAUUCUAUUUGGUAUCUAAUAAAACAAAGUUAACAAACAAGCUAAAUUAACUUUACAAUCUAAUCUUUUCCAUAAUCUAAGCUUUAAAAUCUAUCAAUUUCAAGCCUAAUUCUUUCUGAAAUCAACAAUGACAACUUUCUAAAACUUUAACAGUUUCACAAAUUGGUACAUGAGCUAGUUAAAUCAAGCUUCCAUGACCCCAAAUCUAUAAAAAUUGCAAGAAAAUGACCUAACUUACUUACCAAAUUGAUAGUUGAAUAGUAAGAAAAUUUUUGAAGCUUUCUACAAUGCCUAGCUAUGGUGGAUGAUGGAAUGGAUGAGAAAGAAGAUAGAUUUCCACUAACCUUUCCUAUUUAUAUAUUACUUAAAUGUUAAUUAACCUUAUUUAAUUAAUUAAGUUAUGAUUUACUUAACAUAAUUAACUUUUCAAUAAAUCUCAGUGGAAUUCCCCAUCAUCAUCCACUAUCACAUGAUUAAAAAUGGUUUAAUUGUCAUUUUAGACCUUUUCCUAAUUGCAAUUUAAGUCCUCAAGCCAUUGGUCAAUUUAAAUUUUAUAACAAUUAAGCUUUUACAAAUUAGUCUCUAAGCCUUAAUUAACUAUCAAUUUGACAAAAUUAAUCAACCAAUCUUUAAUAUAAUUUUAUAUUAAUCCCGUAAAUAUUCAUAUUUAAUAUUUAUGGACUCGGUUUACAAAAAUAAGGUUCCGAAAUUGCAUUUUUUGGUACCAUAAAAAGUUAGGCUGUUAGACGGUGCAAUUAUAAGAAGCCACGAAGGGAACUAGAUCAAAGGUUAUUGUUGGCACAUCUCUAAAGCGACUAGUAUGGAAACAAAUCUAUGAGCAUUAAGAGACAGACUAAACUGGUUAAAGACUUGAACAUCACAUGCUUAAAGGUUGAAUUUAUGUAACUAUUGUUAUUAGCAUAACAUGUUACUUGCUACUUUGAUUCAUGAUUGUAGGAUGGUCCUAGCUACUUUCCAGAAUUGUGGCAGAUCAUGAGUCUAAGUCAACUUUUGAUCCUUGCUCGAGAAAGACAUGUAGAACACUUAGCCUAGAUAAGCAAUAAAAAGGGAACUUAGAUUGUACAAGAGAAUUGGGAGAAUGAGGAAGCAUAUUACUCAAAUGAAAGCUAGCUUGAUCCUACAAAUGAAGGAGAUGAGCCUUUAUUGUUGGAAAAAAACUGGUUCAAAAACAGUUUUCUUGCACAGCGGAAAAAUAAAAAAUUUGAAACAGAGACAAUUUGUAAUAUUUAUAGCAAUAAAAUUUUCUCGAAACCACACCUAUGUUCUGGGCUAAACGGAUUAUUAUCACUCCCUAGCUUUCAAUCAAAUGACCUUCUCCACUAUUCUUAUACCAUGAACUGCUUCAAGUGUGAACUUGAACACUUUCGAAUCAAAUACAGGAAGAGAAAAUAUUUUCUUUACUUUUAGUGGGAAAAUAAAACUUUUUCUCUUUUAGAAACCAAUAGAAUUGUUAUUCACAAAAUAUAUAAUUUAUACUUAGAAAUAAAUUCUCACUAUUUUCAGGUAGAAUUAUAAUAUCUCAAAGUUAUGUGUAACUUAUUGCCUUUUUUAGCCUUACUAGUGUUAUCUAUUUAUAGGGAGAGGAAGUGAAACCCUAAUUGAAUUAGUAGAAUGCAUUUAAUGCCUAUUUGAUAGAAAAACAAUCCCUUAGUUGAACUAAGAGAUAGAGUGACUAAUAGGGUGUGCUUUCCCUCAUAUGUAUUAUGAUGGGGAUUUGGGCCUCUCCUGUCGACUGCCUUCCUCUCGAGCAACAAGAGAAAGAUAAAUCAACACUGGGACUAAAACGAAUAUAAAUAUCGCAGCUUACUACAAGUGUGACAUGUUAGUUGUAAUAUUUGUAGUAUUACAAUAGAACACAAGAGUAUUCCAAGGAUAAAUUCAACCUUUUGUUAAGGGGAAAUUUCGAGGAUAAAUUUAAUGUUUAAAAUUCUUCAAAGUUAGAAAUUUCGAGGAUGAAAUUUUGUUAAGGGGAGAAGAGUUGUAACACCCAAGAUCUGUAAAUAUUACAACUGACCUGUCACACUAUAAAUUCUGGAAUUUGAUAAAUUCAACCUUUUUAACAUUUAGUGAUAUUGUUUUCUAGUAAUUUACUAUUACUUUAUUUAAUUUUCCGUUUUAGUAAUUAAUUAAUAAAAUGAGCAAUUUUUACUGUUUUAUGAUCUUUUAGGCCAAUCCAAGCCUAAAGGAAGGCUAACAUGCUAAUUAAGUGUGCAGAACACCAAUUCAGGCCAAGGAGUCAAUAGACUUCCCUCGAUGUUGCAAAACCUAGCUUGGAUGUCACAACACCACUCCCAAACCACCUAAGGAGAAUACUACCCUCGAUGUAGUCACACUAACCAUGCUAUGUCGCAACACCCAACCUAGACGUGUAAAGGAGCAUACUACAUUUGAUGUCACGACACCGCUGCGACGAGGCCACAUAAAUUUUCAAGGGUGUUUUCGUUUGAAUAACUUCAAUUAGUUAUGAUUAGUCAUUUGUAUUAGGUGUAAAUGAGCCAUCUAACAUGAAUCUUAUAAAUACUAUUGCGCUAGACCUGAUUAAGGACUGUUUUUCCUUGUUUUAGUUUGACUUUCCUAGAUUAGGGUUUUUAUUUAGGUUAUUCCUUGUACGACUUUCUUAAUUUCAAUUCCAAUUCUAGUUUUAAUAUUAGAGCUUCAAUUGUUCGUGUUUCUUACAUCCAAUCGCCAAUCAUUCAACAUCUGUUAAGUGAUUUAUGUUGCUAUGUAUAAUCAACAUCUUCGAAUCCAAAAUUCUCUCUUCCCUCUUUUUCUCUUGAUAUUUCUUUGAAUGUAUAAAAUAAAUUUAGGGACAUUGGUAUUUAGAUCUAUGGAUAAAUAAACCCUAUGGAAGAUUAACGAGUGGAUGCGAGAUUAAUUAAUAAAUGUUGUAAGGUUUCUUCGAGAAUUAGUCGGAUUAAGCUGAGUGAAAUUAAACCUUAGGAUUGAUGACCCUAUGAUGUUAUUUAGGUAAAUAAUUUGGGAGAAUAAGUCUACUGUGCAUCUCUCAACUUGUCUCGGUUUGAAUUGUGAGGUUGGGAGAUAAGUAGUUCCUAUUGACAAGUUAAUUUAGUUAGAGGUCGGGAGGUAAAAACUAGAUUAAUUCGUGGCUAAUUAGUAAAACCCUAAAUUGGUAGCUAAGUAUGAACACUAAAAUGAGUUAGUCUUCUGUUUGUAUAUUUAAGUAAUUUUCGAUUGUUUAUUCUAUUUUCGUAUUUUGCAUGUUUUUUCCUAACUUAUCUCUAAAUUUGCUUGUUCGUACUAUGGUUUUAUCUGAGUACUGUUUAGAAUUAUAGUGUAGAUCAGGCCUCCAUUGGGUAUAAUCCUCAGAAUACUCUGUGUUCCAUUGUAAAAACUAUAUUACAAUCUGAACCGCAGACUUGCAGACACCGCCUCAUUCCAGAUAUUUUGUUACACUAUUUAUAUUCUCGACGUUCGCACGUCGAUAAGCGAUGAAGUUGUUGGCGCUGUUGUCAGGGAGACUUCAGCAUUUUAUUAGUUUUUAAUUUCUGUAAUUAGUAACCCAAAUAGGAAAAUUUUAAGUUAUAGAUACGACUUUUAUUUUUUUAUUUAUAAUUUUUAUUAUUUACCUACUUCUUUAAUUUUUUUCUAAUUUCAAUGUAUGACUUGAAGCAGGGGCACCCUAUCGAAGCAAUCACCAAUCCAGAGAGAAUAAUUAAACGUAAUCGAAGGUAGCAACAACAAUAGAUGGAAAAUAAUCCACCAGUUCUAGCUGGUCCACCAUAUAAGAAUUCAUUAUUUGAAGAUCCACCAUAACCAAUAGCACCGGUACAAAUAGAGACACCUAUGGCACAACAGGAAAGAACUCAACGCAAUUAUAUGCUACCCAUUCCAGAUAUAGUGCAAGGCGGAAUCGAUAGGCUAUCAAUUAAUUCCAAUCAUUUUGAAAUCAAGACAACCAUUAUCCAAAUGAUACAAAAUAAACUGCAGUUUUAGGUUAACAUCACUGAGAACCUGAAUCAACAGUUGAAACAUUUCUUUCAAUUAUGCUAUAUUUUUUAGUUUAAUAGGGUCACCGAUGACACUAUUCAUCUGAGGUUGUUCCCCUUUUCAUGUGAUAACACAUUCAUUUGGCUAGAUUCACAGGCUCCAAGUUCGAUUAUUAUAGGGGAGGAGAUUUUCGUAUGGUUUUUGCACAAAUUCUCUCCAAUUAAUAAAACUAUCCAGCCGAGAUGCGAUAUUGCUAACUUCCGUCAAUUAGAGGGUGAGAAGUUAUAUGAGGCGUGGGAACGACGUUUUAAACUAUUGUUGAGGAAGUUUCCCGAUCAAGGUAUGCAGGAGUGGUUGCAAAUGCAAAUUUUUUAUAAUGGGUUGGAUGGAAAUUUUAGGUCUGGGCUAGAUAAAGCAUCAAGAGGGGCUUUAAUGAAUAAAACGUACGAAGAUACUUAUUAAUUGAUCGAAAAUAUGGCCAUUAAUUCAUGUAUAAGACCAAACGAAAGGUUUACCUAUAUUUUGAGACCACCAAUGGUUAAAUCUGUCCAAGAGGAGGACAAAUACCAGCAAAUUUUAGUCAAGGUGAACCAUUUGGAAACCCAUGCCACCAAACCUUUAUUGCAAGAACUAGUUUGAACGAAUGGGCAGUACUUAGAAAGCAAACCUAAUGAGGUGAAUUAUUUGAAGAAUAUGGGUGGAAACCCCUAUUCCAAUACAUAUAAUGUGGGUUAAAAGGAUCAACCCAGUUUAAAGUAGGGAGGUAAUCAAGGAAGGGGGAACUACAUGCAAAACUGAUAGAAUCCUCCUUAUCAAUCUUCAUACAUUGAAAGAGCUCAGGAGAGGCCCAUGAUAAAUGAUCAUAAUACAUGUGGUCAUGGAAUGGACAAAAUAAAAUUGGAGAUGCAGUAAUUGAGAACCGAAAUUUGAUAGGUGUAGUAUGAUUGCUCCCAAACCUACACUCAAUUGGUUGACAUCAGUGACCAACUUAACUAGAUGAUGAAUAUGAUUAUGAGCCUUGCACGAAAAGCACACCAUCCCCAUCUAGACUAGAGGAUAGAUGAAGAAGGGACGAAGAAAAUAUUGUAAGUUUUGUAAACAUUUUUUAAGUCCCUUAAUGUUAACCCUAAUUGAACUAUUAAAGAAAAUUUCAUAAUAUGCUAAGUACUUUAAAGAAAUAAUGGCUAGGUAUAGGAAAAUUAAGAAAGGGGAAAAGAUUAACAUAGAUGAUUCAUGCAGUGUGAUAAUGUAACGCACCAAACCCAACCUGAUUCACCGGGUUUGGAUUUCGAGUGUUACCUCACAAAGCUAAGCCAUUAACUAAAACAAUUUACAAUUUUCCAUUUCUUUAAAUGUUUUCUUUGACAUAUUAUUUAAAAAAUUAUUGUUUGAAAUCAAGAGAAGUAACUUAAAAUAAUAUUAUAACAACAUACUCAAUAAAAAUCCUUACAAAAUGAAAGUUUAUUUAAUACAGACUCAAAAUACUUAUUCCUAGACUACAUCACAACUUCACUUUAUGCAUAAUAGCCCACUCCGCCCCCACCACCUUGGCGUACUCCUAGCGUUGUCCCUUCAAGCAAAGUCUCUUAUCAAAUACCUAAAAAGCAAACACAAAUCUUGUAAGUACAGGAGUACUUAGUGAUUUAUUAUAACAAUACAUUUAUGGAUACUUUGCAAUCUUGUAUGAACUACUGUGUGCCAAUUAUUCCGCAUCAUUUAUUUCUGUGGAUACCAUCACAGUUUACCAUUCUUUUAUACACCAACUAUCAUAUUCUUGUCAUAAUUAAUCAUUCUUGUCUAACUAACUGAGGAAUUCUUCUCAACGUUUCAGAAAUUUCUUGUACCAUAAAAAUUUCUUAAUUAGAACAUACCCUCAGAAAUCACUUCCAACAAUCCAUGCCUUAACCCAUUCUCUUAUUUCAUACAAUUAUUCACUAACAUUUAUUACGAGGAGAUACAUAUAUUUUCGGUGAAUACUUAUGCAGAAUUUACUACCAUCAAUUCAUACUCAGACAUACCCUGAUUCAGUACCACACACAUCCAUAUUGAUAUUUGACAAAUUCCAUAUCAUUUUAUACCAGAAUCCCAUAACAUAAGAUAACACUAAUCUAGAUUCAACAUAAUACUAGAAAAAGAUACAAUACCUCUCACUUUCCAUAAUUAUAUAUCAUCAUAACGAAUAUCCUUUUUAACAUACAAAUACGCAUAUAUUUCCUAUGGAAACCAUUAAGACUUAUUCACCCCUAACUCAAAACAUAUCAAUACAUCAUUUUAACCAUACUUAUUAUAGAACUAAAAGAACUUACUCAUAUCUUACCAUAGAAACAAAUAUUCAGACUCAAAUCAUACUACACCCUCGUAACAGUUCAUGCCACGUAGACCAAACAAAGCACGUCAUUCAGGCAAUCAUAUAGAAUCUCUUGUUUACUGUCCCAACGAGCUUCACAGAACACAUCAAAGGAAAACAAAUGAUAUACCGAACGCGUUAUAAGUCCUUAUUACAGAAUACGCUCUAAAGCAAUCUAAUCAAUGUAUGCCAUAAAGGAGAUCCCUACAGAGUAUGCCACAAAGGCGAUUCAUUUAGAAUACGCCACAAAGGCUGACAUGAUGCCACGCAAAGAACCCCAUUAGAUAAAAUGUCAUUCAACAGUUCCUUUUUAAAGUAUUCCAUGGUCAAUGACUUUUUUUACUUCAGAGUUCAUAUCAAAUUUCGUGUUUAUAAUCUCAACAGCCUUCUUUAUUUACCACAACAGUGACUCGACUCAAUUUAUAAACUUUAUGAACCAAACACAUCCCAGAUCCAAGCUUUCAUAAUUUCAUAACACUUUUCAUACAUCCUAUAGAACUUAUUUUCAAGCAAGUUAAAUUAUCUCUUAAUCUAAUCAUAACUUUAUUCCUAAGUAUCAUAUUCAUUCCAUACUAUCCAUGAUUUCCAAUUUAUAAUUGGAUCACUUUCAAGUAGAUAUACUUCUAUAUGAACAGUAUACAUGCAAGAGUCAAAGUAGAAACUCACCUAAUCCUUACUUAUUGCAGUUCGAAGCUCCAGAUCCAAAUAUUCAUCUCGAACUAGCAGCAACCACUGCUUAGGAACCUAAUUUCACUACCACUAUUCCUUUACAUACAAAUUAAUUAUUAUUUAAAUCACUGACAAUCCCAUGAAGAAACCUUAUACUUACAAUUUCACUGUUCAAUUAUCACAUUCAGAUUUACUCAUUUAGAACUUAACAUGCAGAGCUGAAAUACUUACCCUAAUGCGAAAUAACCACUGAUCAAAAAAGAACCAUAGCUUUC